RNAcentral lists this long non-coding RNA (68297 nucleotides) under Setaria italica (foxtail millet). RNAcentral's name for it is "long non-coding RNA (SITA_LNC002692)". The record is from RNAcentral. Lineage: Eukaryota; Viridiplantae; Streptophyta; Magnoliopsida; Poales; Poaceae.
GCAGGGCAGCUUCGACAACCGUGCGGCGGGCAUCAUGGCGCUCGGCGGCGGCCCGGAGUCGCUGCUGGCCCAGACGGCGUCCCGCUGGGGGAACGCCUUCUCCUACUGCAUCCCGCCGACGUCGAGCAACUCCGGCUUCUUCGGCCUCGGCGUGCCCGGCGGCGUCGCCUCCUCCAGGUACGUGGUGACGCCGAUGCUCAGGUACCCGAACCUGCCCACCUUCUACCGCGUGCUCCUCCGGGCCAUCACCGUCGGCGGGCAGCGGCUCAACGUGCCCGCCGCGGUGUUCUCCGCCGGCUCCGUGAUGGAUUCGCGCACGGCCAUCAGCCGCCUGCCGCCGACGGCGUACGCGGCGCUGCGGGCGGCGUUCAGGAACGCCAUGAGGAUGUACCGCCCUGCGCCGCCCAAGGGGAACCUCGACACCUGCUACGACUUCACCGGCGUCGCCAACGUCAGGCUGCCGAGGAUCGCGCUGGUGUUCGACCGGAACGCCGUCGUGGAGCUGGACCCGUCGGGGAUCCUCUUCAGCAGCUGCCUCGCUUUCGCCUCCAACCGCGACGACCACAUGCCGGGCAUCCUCGGCAGCGUGCAGCAGCAGACGUAUGAGGUGCUCUACGCCGUCGGCGGAGGCGCUGUCGGAUUCCGCCGUGCCGCGUGCUGAGCGCCACCUCGCCCUGCCAUCCAAUCCAUCUGUCUACUGGCAUUAUAUUGUUGCUUUACUCGUUUCCACACCCACUGUUAACUACUAUAUGUAAGACCUAUCUGGUCAAUGGUCAUGGAUUUCUACAAGCUAAUCUCACAGGGAGGUGAGGUAGUUUGUUGCCCAAAUAAACCGAAGAUUUGCAAGUUGUAUGUGAUCCUGCCGGCUUAUAAGCUUGUACUUCUAUCAGAAAUUUGUUAUAUUGAUCAUGUCCGGAAGGAGAAGGGACUUUGUUUUGAAACCGUAAAUUUGUUCAACGUGUGCAUUUUUGUUUAUUUUCUGUGUCCUUCAAGAAAAGAGUACAAUAUUAUACUUCGUCCGUUUCAAAUUGUAGAGUAUUUUAACUUAUCUAUAUACAUAAUUUUUGGAGUGAAAUACUCCAGAGGUCCAUCAUACGGUGCCAUUUAGAUCCAUAAACUCCGAAAGUGUAUUUUUAGAUCUAGAAACUUGUUAAGUCGUUCACUGUAGGUCCAUACCUCUCCAUAGUAUCCGUUUAGCAUAGCUCCAACUUCGAGAUCCAUGUUAGGUCUGUACUCUAAAAUCUAAAAUAAAAUAAUUUAAAUAUUUGUGUUUAGUCUAGAUUAUAAAUAAAAUAUUUUAGCUAAAUGUUCGUGAUAGACCUGCACCUCUAAAUCUAAUACCUAACUCUAAGUGAUCCAAGUUUUUUCCAGUAACUCUGCCGAAUAGGGUUACGGUGUUAGAAACAAUGUAUACCUAAGUUUUAUCCAAAUGAAAUCCAUAUCUUCUUUUUUCUCAUAAAUACUUUAUCAUGUUAUUAUAUUUGGUGAGGCGACAUACCAUUUAACAAGAAUGACCACGAUAAUGACCUAAUAAAAAAAGACAAAAAGAUCUAUCCUAUCUAAUUUGUCGAUUCAAUAGAAGCCCAAAGAGGUGCAUAUGGUACCAUCCCUUCCUUGGUUAUCAUGCUGAGCUGCCAUUCUCAAUGGAGUGGGGGUUUCGUGAGAUAGUUUCUAAGACUAUGGCAUCAUCUAAACUAAUUGGACGUAAUUGGACGUACUCAGAUGAAAUGAAACCAUGUAGUUCUCGAUGUCAAUUUUACCAUGUUUCAUAGGAUCUGUUUAGCAUAGCUCCAACUUUAAGAUCCAUGUUAGGUCUGUACUCUGUAAUCUAAAAUAAAAUGAUUUAAAUAUUUGUGUUUAGUCUAAAUUAUAAACAAAAUAUUUUAACUAAAUGUUCCUAAUAGAUCUGCAGCUCUAAAUCUAAUACCUAGCUCUAAGUGAUCCAAGUUUUUUCCGGUAACUCUGCCGAAUAGGGUUGUAGUCUUAGAAACAAUGUAUACCAAGUUUUAUCAAAUGAAAUCCAUAUCUUCUCUCUUCUCAUAAAUACUUUAUCAUGUCAUUAUAUUUGAUGAGGCGACAUGCCAUUUAACAAGAAUGACCACGAUAAUGACCUAAUAAAAAAAGACAAAAAGACCGAGGCCCAACACAUCGUGUCCCUUACUUCGAGCUUUCCCAACCCUUUUAUAAUCAAAUUGCACAUCAUGUGCGCGCAUCCACCUUUGCUAAGAUAAAGAAUAGACAAAGACCCAGGCAAGAACCUAACAAUUGUUAUCACAUCUCAGAAAGCAAAAGCGAUCGAAUACGUUGCAUGCACAUGCACCGGCAUCAUAUAUUAUGUGCACCAGAAAGGGCCCUACUCAUCCUAUCGAGGCAGGUAUCCUUUGCUGUCCUUGCAUUGGAUCUUUUCCUUCGUAAUGCAUGCACCUUUAGCUCCGAAUUCCUCAAAGCGAGAGGAAAGAAUAAAGAAGGACCGACGCCGCAAUGAGAUCAAACAAUCAUAUAGAAAUGAAAAAAAAUAAAAAGACGAAAAGGACCAACAAUCGUUAUCAUGUGUGCAUGAUUAUUUACUCGAAAAAAAUGCGCGUGAUUAUUGCACAUACACUCUUAGGGAACCAUGUUGAGUUGUGCUACACAUGUGGUUCAACAUGUUAGUGACGAGAGAUACAUAUUGAUGACUUGUCGAAAUGGUUAGGGCUUUUUUGAACAUAUAGUUGCUUUAUUCAAAUUGGUUGUACAUUGUUAAUUUACUUACCAAAGGGGAUACCGCCGUAAGAUCAUCAUCAUCAUAUAUAUAUAGCAUAUUGGAUUCAUUAGGUUCCUCGUAGUAGAACCGUUCCACCGGAUUUGAAUCCUAGACUUAGCACUUCUACUCAUUAUAGGAAUAAAUGAUGCUAUUUUUUAAGUGGUAGGUAGCAUGCCGACCUGUCGGCAGCAAAGGCUACUUCUAUGGCAAUUUUGAAAAUCCCAAUAUCUACUGACUCACUAGUCUCACGGAGGCGAUUGGUUGUGUUUAUAGGGAUGAGUGUAUGUGAAUAUUUAACUCUAUACUAUGUUUCAUAAAAAAAGGUGAAGUACGCAACAAAUGAGGCAGAUAUGGUAGAUGAUAUGCCUCAAAUAAAGGAUCGCAAGAAUAGAUGCGCGACACAAUAUAUUAUCUUAGUUUUGUUCUAUUGCAUUUUGAGCGUAUAACUGAAUAAUAUGCAUGGCUUCUUGCUCUGUGUUGCUCCCUUUUGCCUAUAGAACUCAAUCUAUCAAAACUUCAUGCGCACCAAUACUAUGUUAAAAAGAAGUCUUCAUGUCACGAAGUCAUUCGUGGUACACAAUCAACAAGCUCCCACUACUGGAAAAAUCACCUCUAGCACCGGUUCUAAACCCCCCUCUAGUAUCGGUUGUGCAACCGGUAGUGGCCAUCCGGUACUAGAGGGGGUCCUUUGGUAUCGGUUCAAAUAACCGGUACUAAACGGCACCCUUUAGUAUCGGUACUAAAGGGCUUCCCACGCCACAUGGGGAGGUGCCCUCAUUACUACCGGUUGGUAUCCCCAACUGGUACUAAUUUCUUUUAUUUUCUUUUCUUAUUUUCUGUUCCUUUAUUAUAUAUUUGUAUUUCGUAUUUAUUUCCUUUACGUACACUAGUUCUAAUACGCUACUAUAUGUAAAGUUCUAUUUAUCUUUAAUAUAACAUUUGAGAUAAUAUUAUAUAUAUACACAUAUUGUGCAUACACAUACAUGAAUAACAUUACACAUAUUUAUAUAUAGACAUAUUGUGCAUACACAUAUCGUAUUUAAUUACUAAUCUGAACCUGAGUCCAUAUUGUGCACUAGUUGAGAUCCAUCAUUAUCAAACUCCCCCGCAUAUUUGUGUCCUCGUACAGAAGAAAUCCACAUAGUUGAUCUUGUAUUGCCCUGAAAACUUCGGUGUCGAUGAGUUUUUCCUUCCUGGUCAUCAUCUGUGUCAUUAGCAAAUGAAUUAGAAAUAUUUAAUCUAAAUUUGUUGAACAAUUGAAACUUUUUUAAGUAUAAGCAUAUGAAUUGAAAUACAUAAUCUAAUUUUUCUAAGUAUAUACACAUGGAUUGGAUUUUGAGGUAUAAGCAUAUGAAUUGAAAUACUUAAUCUAAUUUUUCUAAGUAUAUACUCUUGGAUUGGUUUUUGAAGUAUAAGUAAAUGAAUUCAAAUACUUAAUCUAAUUUUUCUAAGUACAAGCAAAUGAAUUGGUUUUUGAAGUACAAGCAUAUGAAUUGAAUUACUUAAUCUAAUUUUUCUAAGUAUAUACACAUGAAAUGGUUUUCGAAGUAGAAACAUAUGAAUUGAAAUACUUAAUCUAAGUUUUCUAAGUAUAUACACAUGAAUUGGUUUUUGAAGUAUAAGCAUAUGAAUUGAAAUACUUAAUCUAAUUUUUCUACGUAUAUGCAUAUGAUUUGGUUUUUGAAGCACAAGCAAAUGAAUUAAUUUUUGAAGAAUAUACACAUGAACUAAUUUAUUGUUGAGAAUUUUGUAUAUGUACGGUUAAUUCAUGUUCAGUGAUAUGGUUCGGACCCACAAAGUCAUGGAUGAAGUCACAAACGUAGUAUCCACAUAAAUGAGUACCCUCCUGCUAUCUCGAACACUAUAUAUAUGGAAAAAAGUUAUGAAAUAUUUGUUGGGUUAAAGGAAGUAUCACGAGAUGUGAAAAUUUAACACAUACUGAAAAUCUAUCUUCCAAACAAGUUGCUCCGUGAAAUUACCCUUGUGAGUUUGAUGGAAUCGAGCUCAGCAUUUGUUCAGAGCGUUCAUGAUGUCAACGUAUUUUUCUUUUGGUUUCCUCAAAGAGUCCAAGACAUACACGAAGCUCCAAGCGGGGAUAAUAAUGAGUACCCAAUGGUACAUGUACAUCCAAAUUGAAGCUAGUUAGUAUUAUGUUUAAGUGCUAGUUCAGAAAAGAAAGCGAUGGGAAAAACGCUCACUUGAAGUUCCACGGUAGUAAUAUGCGCUUCUUAUCCUAAUGCUUGUCGAGGAACUUCAAUAUAUUCUUCAAGGUCCGUUUUGGUUUAUCCUUUAGAUUAUCCUGGAAAUAAUUGACAUCAUGGUAUCCCAUCCUACGACAAGUUUGAAUCUCCAUCCUGCACAAUACAAAAUUAAAUAGGACUUAAGACAUCGCAAAUUGACUAGAAUGAGGAUUUUCAAGUUAGAGAAAUAUACUAAAGACUUACAGGACCCAGCAACUGAUCAGUGACUUGUCUAGUGCGUCUUGAUUGUAUGGUGAACAACAUCAUUAGUGGGUAACAUAACAAAAAUCAUUUAUAAUGUGCACAUUGUAAUUAACCUGAUGGUGUAAAAGAAAAUAUUAUAAUGCAUAUUGACAAUUAUCGCAGUAAUGAAGGCUCCAUCUUUCGUAUGCAGUCAUCAGUCGGGGGUGCGCCAGCCUAGAAGUUAGAACUCUUAAGUCUUCACACUGUAUAUUGAUCGCAGUAAUAUAGCGAAUAUCAUUUAUAAUGUGUAUAUUGUAAUCUGAUUUUGGAUUGCUUGGGGAAGCGACCCCUUAAACACUUAUGAGGCCCUUGCAAAGAAUCAACCAGCCUGACAAGCACAACACAGACCCAUAAAGCCCCAUUUAAUUUGUGCCACUCAGUUCUUGUUAUUUAGCCACAUACUAAAUAGUAUCAAUCAUGGAUAUGUAGACCUGCACAUCUAAUAUGGUAAAGUUAUAGUGAUAGUGUCAACUCUUAGUAUAUCUUCAUUAAUCUAGUAUAUGUAUAUAUAAAUGCAGUGAAGGACCCAGCAACUUGGAUGAGCCUGGGUGCCUUCAUUGUACAGCUCUACGUAUGGUGCCAAUCAAUAGCUAGGCAUCGAAUAAGCUAAGGAUUAGUAAUGGAUUUAGCAGAUGGUGAGCUCGGGCAGGUGCCUAUGGUUGCCGGGCCCUGAGUUCGCCACUCUAUAAAUGCACUAUCCUUAGUCUUAUAGGGCACAUCCAAUACCUCUCCAUAUAAUUUUAAAUAAAAAAUUUGUCAACUACAAAAAUUGAUAUAGAGUUUAUCUGCAUAUAUAUGAGGUCAUUUGAACUUCAAAAAUUCCAGAUUUCAAAAUUUGAGAUCUUAUAAUAAUUUUUUGGACUACUAAACAACAUCAAAUAAUUAAAAAAAUUAUUAACUAAAAUUUUUAGAUCUCGUCGAGCUAUACAAUUUUGAUAUAAAGUUUUUGAUAAUGGUCACCAUUUACAGGGCGAAUUGCCUCACGGUCCGCACCGAGAAAUCAUUUCUAGGGACGGAUUCAUUUGUAGCGGCGGCUGAUCACGUGGUACGCGCCUAGAAACUCAUUUCCAUGUGCGCAUCAGUCGCUACAGUGUGGCUCCAUCUUUGUUGGGCUGGUGGACCUAGAGACGCAUCCCUUUAAAAAAGAAGCGCGAGUACAAAACUUUUUAAUACAGGAGCAUCGUCCGUUACUCAAAUAGCAGGAUGCCAGGAUUAGGACCAGGUUCCUCUAGGACUAAACUAAACUUUAGUCUCUCUUAUUCACUAGAUUAAACUUUAAUCUUCUCUGUUUGGUUCUGGUUCUAGUGACUAAAGACUAUUAAAGUAAUUGAAAAAAAGAUAAAACUACCCCUAAUCAAUGCCUUAGGGACGUUGGCGGCAUGUCCAUGGCUGGACAGGCCUGCUCCGACGGCGGCGCAUCCAAGUCCGAGCGUGGCAAGAGCAGGGCGAGCUAUGGGGCGGUGGCGCGUCAACCAAGCAGGGUGAGCUGGGGGGUGGCACGGCGGCGGCAGUGGAGAACCGCACCAAUCGCGGCUGCUCUACGAGCUCUGCGCGCUCCAGCUAACCGUGCUCUGAGCAAAGGAUUGGAUCAGGAGGGGGGAUGGGGCAGUAACGAGGGGCAGAUCCCGCAACCUCUUGGAGACUAAGGGUUAAAGUCUAGGGACUAAAGUUUAACCUCCUUUAAUCACUAUAUUUGAUAGUUUAGGGACUAAAAGGACUAAACUUUAAUCCUAAACUUUAGCGGCCCAAACCAAACAGGACCUUACAACUCCACUGAAUUGCAAGCCUCAAGGAGAGCUACAGCCGCCACCUAUUUAUAUAAACUCAUAUAGCUUGGUUCGAAUCACAACAUAUUAUUCUACGAUCGAAUUAGAGACAAACCUCGUUCGAAAGAAAACAAAACCAUGAUUCCAGUUUGGCCGCUGCUACUUCUAUUUUCUAUUUCUUCUCCAAUUGCUGAUGCAACAAGAAGCUCGCUGAUGAAGUCCAACGCCGUCUGCUCCGGCCAGAGAGGUAACUACAAGAAAAUUUGUUUGUCAUCUCAAGUCACAAACAGAAGAACUGAUGAGUAAACCAUGUUCGUUUUGAAAGAAAGUGCUGAUGAAAUGAAACACUGUGUGUUGAGCACAAUAGAUUCUUAAAGACAUUAUACUAGUUUGUAAGCACUAACGGAAAUCUAAUGAGACACCCUGUGCUAACUUGGCAGUGAGCAUUCCAUCCUCUAGCGGCGCUUGGCUGCCGCUGAACCACCGCCAUGGCCCGUGCUCGCCGUCUCCUUCCUCGGAGAGGAUACCGUCCACGGCCGACGUGCUCCUCAGCGGCCGACUCCGUGCCGACAGCAUCCGGAGGCGCUUGAACGGCAGUGCUGCCGCCGCAGAGCGCAGCGACGUCGUCACCGUUCCGACCACUCUAGGCACCUCCCUGGGCAACUACGAGUACGUGGUCACCGUGGGCCUCGGCACGCCGGCAGUCACCCAGACGGUGAUCAUGGACACCGGCAGCGACGUCUCGUGGGUGCAGUGCCGCCCGUGCCCCGUCCCGGCGCCGUGCCACGUCCAGAAGGACCCAGUGUUCGACCCGGCCGGGUCGGCCACGUACUCUGCCUUCUCCUGCAGCUCGACGGCGUGCCUGGGCCUUGGCCGACGCCGUGCGGCCUCCAAUGGCUGCUCCGGGUCGUCGCCGUGCCAGUACAUCGUGAAGUAUGGCGCCGGCUCCAACAGCACCGGGACGUACAGCUCCGACAAGCUGACGCUGACCCCGGCGUACGCCGUCGACGGGUUCCGGUUCGGCUGCAGCCACGCCGACCCACUGUUCAGCGACCUCACCGACGGGCUCAUCGCCCUCGGCGGCGGCUCGCUGUCGCUCGUGUCGCAGAUGGCGGAGAAGGCCUUCUCUUACUGCCUCCCGCCGACGGCGAGUCACUCCGGGUUCUUGACGCUCGGUGUGCCGCGCGUCUCCUCCUCCAGGUUCGUGGUGACGCCCAUGCAUAGCAUCGGCAACAUCAAGACGUACUACGGCGUGCUCCUGCAGGGCAUCACGGUGGCCGGGAGGCGGCUCGGCAUUCCGCCGUCGGUAUUCGCCGCCGGCUCGGUUGUCGACUCGGGCACGGUGGUCACGGAGCUGCCGCUGACGGCGUACCGCGCGCUGCAGGCGGCGUUCACGAAGGAGAUGAGGAUGUACCCGCAGGUGGCUCCGAAGAACGGUUUCGACACGUGCUUCAACCUGACCACCGGCGGCGAGGUCAAGCUGCCGAGCGUUGCCCUGGUGUUCGACCGGGGCGCCACCGUGGAGCUCGACCCGUCUGGGAUCAUCUUCGACGGCUGCCUCGCGUUCGCCUCCACUGGAGACGACACCUCCUUUGGGAUCAUCGGCAAUGUGCAGCAGAGGACGUUCGAGGUGCUGUACGACAUCGCCGGCCAGGCCGUGGGAUUCCGCCGCGGCGCUUGCUGAGCUUGAGCGUGCUUGGUUGACCGAUCAAGAAUAAUGAAUUUCUGAGCAGAGCAUGUUGUUAAGUUGUAACCACACUUUGCUACUAUUUCCUAAGUAUUGUGUCAUCUAUAAUUCUAUAUAAAAAAUGGCCAACCCUCCAAUUUAUCAAAGUUUCUAAGUUUGAGCAAAAAAAUAUAGAAAAAUAUGUUAGCAUAUCUACACUACCAAACUGUUAUAAAACACGUCAUCAAUGGUUGGAUCUUCUAAAGACAAGACAUAAGUAUGAGGGACUAUUCUAGAGACCAUCAGACCAUUUAACUUUAGGCUCUCCAUGGUAACUUUAGGCUGACUUGAUUAAUGUAUGACGUCAAACUAAGCUCCUUUUAUCAAUACACUAAGUAAGGCACAACAGAGAUGUAGAUAUUCGAGUUAAGUCAAUGUAUUACCGACAGUCAACUUAAUAAAAAUCCCUAAAAGAUUUAAACAAACAACUAAUACGAAAAAUUUAAUCACACUGAAAUUAGUUAAGGACCUAAAAUGCAACUCUAUAUAGAGGUAGUUUCUUUGAUAUAGAAAUAUUAGUAAACAAAUAAAUAUUAAUUAUACAAGCAUGCUUUAAUGCAAAAGGAUUCUGCAAAAGCUUCGCCCUUCGGCCGUCUCUAAAAGAAUUGUAGAUUUUUUCAAUAAAACUAAAUAAAAAUCCAGUUAAAUAAGAAGACAAGAAACAUCCAAAAGGUUUAUGAAAGGUCGAUGUGCAAUUGCAUCAGCCAGUAGCUAGAUGUCUUGUUAUGGUUCGGUACCUAACGUAUAAUUGUACUACUACUAAUCGGAACCUUCUUCUAUAGCCUCCUUCUUUUGUAGCCUCCAUUGUCAAUCUUCACGAGACAUGUUAGGAAAAAAAAUAACUCCUACAAAUUCUCACAGAAGUCAUAAACAUUUAGCCAUUAACCCGCUAGGCUAUAUGAAUGUUGUGUCAAGGGAAUGAGAAGGGGUAAUUAAAUAUUUUUUAUUAUUAGCUAUAGGCUUAAGUUUUUUACUAUUUUUUUUUACUUUUGAUGCCGUCAAAACUUUUAGUCCCAUGUGAGAAUACGGUGGACGGACUAAAUGAAUUUAAUUAUUGACUUUAAAUUUGGGUUUGAUUACAAUUUCCCUUUAAAUCAUGCAAAAUAUUGUGCCAUCUAUUCAGCUAGUUGCUAAUAAACAAGCAAGCAAACUACUAAUUUUGUUUGAGGGGAAAUAGUCGAGCAUCAUUCAAGAUCCACGUAAAAAUACAUUGGUGACAUCAGUCGUCUUGUGCAUGGUCAUGAAGGUGUAAUGACACAACUACAUUGGUGAACUCAUGCACCAUUGCUGCGAUGGAUAUUUUUCUUUCCUUCCAUUGAUUUACAAACUAAGAAGAUACAGUGCAACGAGACAACUAGGAAGAUGAGAUUCCACCACCAUAGUCCUCAUGUGCAUCAACAGAUUUCGGAAUAGGCUGACUGGGAUAUAAAGAAGGGACAGAGAAGUGCAGCAGGCAGUAUCCAGCUACAGAAACAAAAGGACCAGAUAAGAUGCUCCCAGCAAUAACCUAACCGGAGAUCGAGCUGAUGCUGAUACCGUAACUAGAAUUUGCUCAUAAUAAAAGACUAUCGACUUCCUCUCCACAACUUUACAGUUGUCUUACACAUGACAAAAGCUCCUGCAUUACAUACAGCUGACAAAAAGUUGCAUAGCUCCAAUAAUAUAACGUGAAUCAGGUUCGUGGCCCUGUACGUCCUUGUUGCUUUGGCAAACAUCGGAAAAGAAAAGAAAACAUGGAACAAAUACCGAAGACAAAGACGGAUAAGAAGAAUAAAAACAAAGACUGCUAUCUCAUCACGUACGUGAUGAUCAGCAAGAGCACAUCUCCACAUGCCAAGAGCCCUCUAAACCUGCGACGCCGUCUCUUGAUCCACACAUGCAUCGACAAUCCAUCGAUCCAUCUCAACGUACUUGACACCAAAGCAAAACAAGUUUACAUGGCAUGCACGCGAUGCCAUUCGACGGACGAUUGACGACGACAAUGACCGAUAUGCAUGCAGGGCAUACUAGCCCACGACUCAGCAUUAGUCCCAGUUGCUAGACCUCAAAGCUCUCCAAUACUCAACUGGGAUAAAAUUUUCAAGACGAAGGGGGGUUUUUAAUCCCGGGUUACUCAACCGGGACUAAAUACCCCCUUUAGUCCCAAUUGGUGUUACCAACCGGGACAAAAAACUUUUAAAAAAAAUUUAAAACAAAAGCCCACACCCCACAUCGGCCGCCCGACGGCCGCCCAUGCCGGCUUCGCUCCGCCUCCGCUCCGCCCCAUGCCGCUGGGCCCGCCCGGCCUUGCCCAGCUCGCUACCGCUCCUCACUGCCAGUGAGGAGCGAGCAGAGGAGGAAGGGGAGGGGCAGCAGAGGGGAAAGGGGUGGGAGAGGAAGAGAAGGAGGGGAGGGGAGGGGGCGGGAGAGGAAGAGAAGGAGAGGAGGGAGAGGCUCCGGCGCGAGGAAGAUAAGAAAGACCUGUGCGCGAGAGGAAGAGGAGGAGGUAGAGAAGAAAGACCUGCGCGCGAAGAAGAUAAGAAAGACCUGUGCGCACCCUUGUGUUUGUCCCGGUUGGUGUUUCCAACCGGAACAAAAGCUCCCCUUUUGUCCCGGUUGGAAACACUAACCGGGAUAAAAGGGGAGGGCGUUGGUGCGAUAUUUUCUAUCCGUUACAAGCGGGACUAAAGGGGGAUUUUAGUCCUGGUUGGUAUUUAUAUCCGGGACUAAAGCUUCCUCCCCCCACCCCCUUACGGUGGCUUUCGGUGGCAAUUUUUUAUCCAGGACUAAAGCUAGUUUAGUCACCUGGCACAAUGUUAACCGGGACAAAAAGGGUAGAUGGAAGGUCAGUUCUCUACUAUUGUAGUAUAAUUCAGAGGGGGCUCAGUUGGAUUAGUCGCCGCCCUACACUACCGGCACUUACAAAGACGAAAGCAAGAUCAUUUUACUUUUUUAUUAAUCUAUUCUAAAAUGAUUUGUUUUUAAGGAUGGGGGAACAUAUAUAUUGCAUUGAUAUUUUUUUUCUUGCAAAAUAGCCGCCAGUCCUCCCCCAAGCCGAAGCGCCUCUUCCUCUCCCCGACCUCGAGCGGUUGUAUUUUUUUCAUGCAAAUAUAAUUAUUGUAUAAAAGAAAAUGUAAUAAUAAAUGUGGUGUUUAAAAUUUAUGGAUUGCAAUUUUCAUGAAUAAUUAAUAUCUAUUGAUAUGUAUAAAUUCAUAAAUAAUUUUUAAUUGCAAGUAUUACAAUUUUGCAUAUUAAGAACGAUGAACAACGAUGAGAACAGUGGGAGGUACACGAUGAACCCUUAAGACGUAAGUCUCUUAUAAACUGUCGUGUGCUAACUUCUUAAUGGUAAUAUAUCCUAAUUUUCAUUUACUGUAUACCUGCAGAUGCUUACCAUCAACAGUAACUAUAGCAAGAUUGAAGGCAAACAAAUCGACAACAUUUGUACGGAUAUGGUGAGGUUCAUCCUACGCGAGAUUUGUUAUGAGGAUGGAGCAUUCUUUGAUAAAGAUGGCGUGUUGAUGGCGGACAAAUGCACAAAUCUUCGUUGAAUUUUUAAUAAUGUGAAUUAUAUAUUAUAUACAAUGCAGUUUUGAAUAAUGUGAAUUAUUUAUUAUUCAAGUUUGUUGUUAUGUGGGAAAUAAAAAUUAUAAAUAACUCACAGGAAAUAAUAUAUUGAAUGGAAAAAUUACAUAUUCCUGACGGGUGGCAUAAGCACCCGCUAGCACAGAAACAAUAUGUGCUGGCGGGUGGCUAACGUCGCCCGCCAGCACAGACGGCAUCUGUGCUUGCUCAAGGUUGCUAGCGGGUGCGAUGUCCAUCAGCACAAACAUGUUCUAGCCACCGGCACAAAUGCUUCCUGGCGCGGUGAAUUUUUAAUUAGUGCAGCCUUUUCAGCAGAUUCUCCGUGUUAAAGCAUAGCUCCAAUAAUAUAAUGUGAAUCAGGUUCGUGGCCCUGUACGUCCUUGCUUUAGCAAACAUCGGAAAAGAAAAGGAAAAAUGGAACAGAUACCAAAGACAAAGACGGAGAAGAAGAAUAAAAACAAAGACUGCUAGCUCAUCACGUACGUGAUGAUAUGAUGCCAAGAGGCCUCUAAACCUGCGACGCCGUCUCUUGAUCCACACAUGCAUCGACAAUCCAUCGAUCCAUCUCAACGUACUUGACACCAAAGCAAAACAAGUUUACUUGGCAUGCACGCGAUGCCAUUCGACGGACGAUUGACGACGACGGUGACCUUGCACACUGGCCUAUAUAUGCGUGCAGGGCAUACAUGGUAGCUAGCAUCCCUGAAAACCCUCAAGCUUGUAGAACGAUGGGUCUCCCCAGCUGCCAAGUAGUAGAAAUUAACUCGUACAUCGGAAACCUAACGUCAUCCUACACGGAGAAGAGCAAUGAGCUCAGCAUGGUGGCCGCCUCCGUCAUCAUGUUCGUCCUCGUCGGCCUCUUCUUCAACCUCAACCUCUUCAGCGGCAUCUCCGACAUCAGCGCCAUCCUCGACCCCAAAGUCCGCCUCGUCCUCACCUCGGCGCUCUCCCUCUUCCUCCCCGUCAUGUCUUACCUCUUCUCCGAGGCCAAGAACACCGGGCACUUGCAGAGCUCCACCACUGCUGGGAGCACUCAGGUGGCUGACCUCCCGCUGAGGGCAGGGCUGAUCCUGGCAUGGAUGCUCCUGGUGGAGCUCCUCCGCAAGAAGGUGGAUGAGAUCCGCAUGCGCGGGUUCUCAGGCACCAUCCAGCGCGCCGGCCGAGUUGUUUGGCUGGGAAGCCUCGUCUUCUUCAACAUCGAGAGCGCUGGCCGGAAGGCGGUGUUCAGCAUACUCUGGAUCCUUUGUGCCACCAAGGUGUUGCAAAGAAUCGCCUUCACCGAGGUGGGGAAGCGUUCAUACGCACAUGGCAAGAACGCCCGGCUCAUCAGCUCCUACAUGUCCCAGAUGCUAGAAUGGGAGCCGCCUCAAGAUGCCCACCUGCAGCAGGAGGAUGACAACGACACGUUGAUCAAGACGUGCAAUUACAUUGUCAUGGGCGAAGAGAAGCUGGUGGAUAUUGAGCCCACUGCAGAUGGUUACAAGCUGGGAAAGGCCAAGUCCCCAGGUUAUGAUAGCAUCGUCAAAUUGCUGGAAGAAAAUGAUAGCAUCAUCACUGUACGUAAAGUUUGGGAGCUCGAUGACAAGGACAAGUUCUUCUCCCUUCAGCAAAUUCAAAGCUUGAAGAGAAUCUGCCUCUCAUUUGCUCUCUUCAAGCUGCUCCGUCGAAGGUUCGAGCACCUGCCGGCGGUGACCAAAGAAGAAGCUCGCAACUCCCAGAACCUUAUCUUGAAAGGCCUAUACAACAAAGGCCAAACCAGCUCGUCGGCGGAAGCAGUGUUCCAAGUUCUGAAUGAUGAGGUCAACUUCCUUAGUGAGUAUUAUCACUCUGUUGUCCCAGUGGUUCUUGCAAGCCCCUUCUUCCUCUUCAUAAACUACUUUCUUGUCAACAUAGUCGUAGCUUUCUUGUGCUUCAUGACAGUUAUUCUCUGUGGCAAUGGAGAUGUCAGGUACGCACUCCACAGCCUCGGUGCAGAUAACUACACCUUACAAUAUGGUGUUGGCAAUAUAGCCAUAUGCCUUCUGCUCAAAGCCACAAGUUCACCUUCAGCCUUCUUUUCCAUAGUAGACCUUUCCAUCACUAUCCUUCUAUUCAUAAUCUUCUUUUAUGAGGAAAUAUGGGAGUUCUUUGUUUUCCUACUCUCCAACUGGUUCAUGGUAUCAUUGGUCUAUAACUACAUCGCAAAACCAAGUUGGCUGAAGAGGUCCACCUUUCGGGGGGCCUUGUAUUGGGGGGGCUUCAGUAUUAUCAUGUGGCUGCGGACCAAGAUGAGUCAUGCUGACCUUAGGAUGAAGCAAUUUUCUGUGUUGAACCUUCGUUGGCCACCCAAGUUACCUCUCUUCGCCACAUUCACCAGCAUGGCGGUAAAAACAGUGGUGGUGCCAAGUAGUGUGAAAGAAUCCAUCAUGAAGUACCUUGCCAACCAGCAUGACGAUCCCCAAGCAAACCCUCUUACCAAUGGCAUGUCCACACUACAUAAUAGGAACAACAACCUUUAUUGCCAGGACCUCUCAUGGGCAUGCAGAAGCAAUAGUGUUGCUGAGGUGAUCCUCACGUGGCACAUUGCCACCAGCAUCAUGGAGGUCAAGUGUGACACCCCUCAGAAUGGCGAGGACAUAAGCAGGAGGAAGGUAGCCUUUAGGCUGUCCAAAUACUGUGCUUACUUGGUGGCUUUCCACCCGGAGCUUCUGCCUGACAAUCCAGAAAAGGUCGAGUGUGUCUUUGAGGACAUGAAAGCGGAGUUGAAGGCCAUGCUAGGGUGUCAGGACUACUAUCUCUCGUCGCAGCACAAACGAGUCCAGAAGAUCAUGGACGAGAAAACCACACCCCUAAGGCAAAACCAACCUUCUUCAACUGCAGGCCAGAGUGAUACUGACAAAAUAAAAGUUGCACAAGACGGUGUAAAUCUUGCAAGGUCACUAAUGACAAAAACUAACAAGUGGCAGGUGUUAGCGGACGUGUGGACGGAGAUCAUCAUAUACUUGGCCCCGUCGAGCGACGAGGAGCGUGUGAAGGGGCAUGAGGAGGCCCUGGUGCAAGGAGGUGAGUUCAUCACCGUGCUCUGGGCACUGACCACCCACAUCGGCAUAUCUAGGCCCAGCAAAUCGGAGAUAAAUGUUGGCCAUUCUGCAGCUUGAGGGAUCGAGAAGACACGGGCCUGAGUGUGCAUGGCGUUUCCAUAUGUGCUUUGCCUUUGCAUUGCAGCCACCUUGAUAUUGUUUGCUCUGUUUACGUGUGCAAUUUUUUCUUGGCGUGCUUUCAUGGAGAGUUUGUUUUGUUUGAUCUCAGCUACUUCCACAGCGAGCGGAUGUGUGUGUGUGUGCAGGAGGAUUUGUAAUUAGCAUCAAGUUUUCAUAUGAACUGUGAGAGCAUUUCACCUAAUCGCUUAUCUGCUUUGCAAGCUUCUGCCUGGACUUUUGAGUUUUGAUUCUAUUUCGUUUUGCAGAUUAAUACCUUACCGAUGAAGCGAUGACAUUUAUUUAAUAUCGUAAUCCGAACUGUAGUUGAAUGACGUGCAUCCAAAGUAGAAAUAUAUUUCUUUGUUUUGGUAAUUGUACUGAAUUUGCUUGCAUAAUAUAUGCACUAUGCCUAGAUAAAGAGGAUGGAUGGCUCAGGCCAAAGGGACUUCGGCUUCGCGCUACAGUAACGCACACUAUUUAGCACUGUGCGUUAUUGUAGCACGAAAUCGGAACAGAUACCAAAAUCUCAAAAUGAAUUGGGAAGGAGGUGAAUCCAAAAAAUUGGCUCCCCAUGGUUUCAGCUCCACUUGCUACAGUUGCGAAGUCAAAGGCCCCCUAAGCCAUACCAAAUGAGUCCUUACGACCCCUUACUCAUUUCAUUCACAUAUAUCACUUCCCAUGUUGUUGGACAACAAUGGGAUGGCACCUUGAACUAGUAAGACACAAUAAGAACCACAAGUAUACGUCAUCUACUACUAUUUUUGGAACCAAGUUGUGCAUUACCCCCUCCCAACCAUUGAUAACACAUCCUUGGCUAAAUUAAGCCAACCAAAGACAACCACAAAACUUCUUAUAAAUACGGACCACUUACCCACAUUCCCAAAUCACCUCCACAUUCAACACCUCCUCUCCUCCACCACUGACCAAUAACCCCGGCUGCCGCCGCCGCCGCAACCUUCACAGCAGCCGGGGGCAACCAUGGGUGCCUGUGCAACCAAGCCCAAGACGCUAGAGGGGAAGGCCCCCGCCGAGGCCCCCAUCUCCACACCCAAGGUUACACCCGAGACCACCGUCCCCACCGAGGUGAUGACGAUGCAUUCUGAAACUCAAUUUAUAAACAAAUUUUGCUCGAUCACUAUGCAUGCCUUCAAUUUUGUUUCCUGAAGUGAUGAACAUUCGAACUCGCUGUAUAUUAUCAAUUUGAUGAGCAGGUUGCGGCUGAACAUGUGGUUGAGAAGGUGGUGGAGGAGGCCAAGGAGGAGCCGGCGGCGGCAGCGGUAACAGAGCCGCCUGCCACCGCCGAGCCCGAGCAGAAGGCUGAGGCAACACCAGAGGCGAUCGUCGAGCCCGAGCACAAGGAGGAGCAAGUCUUGGAGAAGAUCGUUGAGGAGGAUCAGAAGCCUGCAGCCCCUGUCGAGGAGAAGACCGCCGCUGCCAUUGAGGUGGCGGAGGAGCCCACGGAGGUGAAGAAGGACGCCGGGGAGGAAGAGGAGGAGAAGCCGACGCAGAGCUGACCGACUGUCCAUGGCGUCAGUUGGCUCCUGCCUGAAAUCUCUAGAGUCGUCGGCUUAUAUAUAGCUCGGGAGAGAGAUCCACUGCGUGUAACAUUCUUUGAUGCCUCCCGUUUUUCCUCCACGGGGUUCUGAUAAACGAUAUUAUUGGGCUUAUUAUUGAACAUCUUGGUCCCUAAUAUUAUAGUUUGCCUUCAACUAUAUAUUCCUUGAUAAUAAUCCAGGAUAUCACACAUUCAUAUGCUGAAAUUUUCCGAUCCCCAAAGUUUGAACGCAAAUUCAAAUGCUCAAAACAAUGCACCUAUAGGACAAUGUGGUCGAGAAUCGAGACUGAUGCGUAGUUUCAAAUUCAUAACAUACAGCGAGUUCGAAUGUUCAAUCAAUGGAGGUCAAGGCGGCACAGAGACGAACCGUUCCGAUCCCGCCCGUGUGACGAUGCAUCAUCCAUGGACCAUAUGGCCAUGGCCUCCCCUCCGUCACCGGCGUUCGACGGCGCAUCCGCGGCCUGUGCCCAUGGCCCUGGCCUCCGAUCCGUCACCGGCGUCCUCGCGCGGGCAGCGAAGGCGUGGAGCACUGGAGCCAUCACCGCCGGCCGGCCGUAGCGUGCACCACCGAUGCACGUCGUUCGGGUUGAUGAUGAGAACCGUGGAGGCCUUGCUCGAGCCCAUGGGCCGAACUGUGGAGGGAUUCUUCGACGGGCCUAGUGCGUUUGGGCCAGCACUCUGUUGGGCUAUCGGCCCAAAAGUUCCACGGGAAGAAGAAAGGGAGGAGGGCACGCACUCCCCCCACCCCCAUCUCUCUUCUCCAUCGGAAUCGAGGGCGGCCGCCGGAAGACGAUCUGCAGCGAAGCGAAGGGAGAAAUCGAGGAAGAAGCGAAGAUGAUCUACCGCAACUGGUCGCUGCUCUCCUCGACGGUCGUCAUCUGGGGCGGCGUCGCCACCGCCGGCCUCGCCGGGAUCUUCCUCUUCGGCGGCAAGGUACUAACCCUCGAUCCCCUUCCUGUAGCUACGGAUUCCAUCCCAGAUCGCCCGUGGGACUGCGUAUUCGUCCGUUUCCGCCCCCGCAUCUGCGUGGUUUCUGUACGAUGUUUUGGUUGCUCCUGCGCCUGUGCUCGUUAGGUUGGUGGUGGUAUGAACAUUGGAUCCGGUUGAUGCGUCGGUGGGGGAUUCGCGUCUGGUGACCAUUGCGAACCCGGGAUUCGGGGCGGAUUUUGGGUGCGAUGCGAUAGAGCUGUUCUCUGCAGGGUCAGAUUCCUCUGUUUAGCUUAGGGCGGCCAGCAAGUCCUGAUUCGAGGCAGAUGUUAUGUGGUUUUAGGUUGCUACAUGCCGGUCAGGUCAAUGUGUUCUUGAUCUUCCUGCCAUGCUUUGUUGUAUGUUCUUGCCUGAGAUUUUUUUUUUCUUGUAAGCCCUGUUGUAUGUUAAUCUCAAAAAAUCCCUUGCUGUACUGAGAUUUUUCUUACUGGGUAGGGCAAUAGGAGAUUGGAGGCCUGUUGGGACAUUCUUUAGUUUUAAGGAUUUUAGCAUGCUGGAUUAGAUUCUGGUGUGACUUGCAAGAGUUGAUGCUGAUGGUUGGGGGUGUACUCUGACACUUAUUCGUUGAUUUCGUGGGAGAUUGGACAAUGCUCUACGUGCAUAAGUCAUCGAAAAAUUGAGUCAUCUUGAUGUGUUACAGUUCACCUAUGUUGGUCAAUUCAUAAGUUCAUAUACUCAGGUGAUGUUCUUUCAUUGCAUUUUUGUACUUGUUGGAUGCGUUAGUGGGCGUUCGACACAUCCAGUUUUGUUUUGGGUACUAGUAUAGCUGUAGAGUAUAAAGAAGCCUUACAUGUGUGUAUUUUUGGAAGAUUAGGUGCUCAAUGUUUUUUUGGCUUCCAAGUUUCCCUAUUGUUUUAAUUUCCAGCAGAAAAGGCUCAGUUUGCCUAUUUGUAAAAACACAGUAACCGAUUAAUACGUUCUUGAAUGGAGUAGCCAGCAGUGUGGGUAGAACUAUGGAUGCAUUUUGAAAUCAUGAACUGUCAAACUGAGUAUUAGAACAGGUAUCCUAAAGCACUGUACAGUCUUGAUGUCUCCAAUUAAGAUGAUACUUAUGUAUUCUGCUGAUUUGCUGUAGGAGACGAUGACUUUCAUAAAUAUGAUUGUGGAUGGAAUGAAAGAUUGCCAUAUUGACUAAGAUUUUUGAGUUUUGAUGUUGGUAGUUUUGUGCACGUAGGGAUUCAGUUGAUAAUUGGUCAUAGAACUGAGUUAUAUACCGAGUGGUAGGUCUGUUGAUGCGUCAUGCAUGAGAUCAUCCAAUACUUGUGUAGCAAGAAGAUUACUGAAUACUCACUCCACUUCUUCAUUACUUUAUAGGUAAAUUAAUCUUGUUUAUAUUCUAAGAUUUUCAACAUAGUAACUUGGUCGGUUUCCCAUGUCCACCAACUUGUCCAAGCUGGUUUAUUUGGAUGCCUAACCAGCAUUUAAUUAUUUUUCCGCAUUGCUUCAAGCGACUCUUAACAUUGUACACCAGUUCGAUGAGAAAGAAAAAUGCAACUGUGUCAGAUUGCUGAUAUGCAUGUCUUGUAACCUUGAUUGAGAUAGCAGCCUUUUAUUAGGCUUCAUUUGUGUUUAUAUUGGUGCUAGCAGGUAUCUUAAAACAUAUGGGUUUCUCUUCCCACGAUUGGUUAUGAUAUAACUAUAUUGGUUCACAUGUUUGCAGGAGAAAUUCCAGGACUACCUUUGCCGUGAGGGUGAGAGGCUUAGGCGGCAGGACAGAGCCGCGAUGGGCCGAAACUAGAGAGGAAGCCAAACCUGAUGGAUAUCAACGAUCGGAGCAACAUUUGAAUUUGACAAGAAAUCCGCCCCUCUACUAGAGCAAGCCCCCCUUCUAGAAUGGAAUCCUUCUGAAUUGCUUUCGCUUUCGUGAGCCGAACUCGCUCCGUAACAAUAAAUCUGACUGCACCCUGUGUAAAUCAUUGAAGAGCUAACGCUUUUGCCUUUUUGGCCCGUGGUUUGUCAAAGCUUGUGUGCUUGUUUGGCAUCGACUGGCUUGAUGCCCUGAAUAAAGGUUGAUGCAUUUGACGGGACAUCAUCACAAAUAUCUGGCCUCCUUGUGUUGUUCAAUUUGCUACCAAAGGCUUGUCUUUGACGCUUUGUGUGCUUGUCCAGGGUGGGCUAUUUGGCUAAUGUAUUCCUCCUAAUUGUGUUUAGCUACAUCUGAUCCUGUUAUAGCAGCAUAUUUCCUGCGAUUUAAGCCUUGUCGCUGUAUGAGCCCAAGGCGGUGAUCCAUGAGUGUAUCGUUGUAUCUUAUUCUUUGUGUACGUUGGGAUCGCCGAAACCUAAACACCCAUAAGCACCAUCCACAGCAUGAAAAACACUUUGACCUCGCAAGUUCUACAUCAAAUAUAAAAAGGCGCGGAGCCCUUCUAGCCUCGCGAGUUCCAAACCGAGAAGUAAAACUUAGUUACCGUCGAACAUCGUUAUCAGGUCUUAAGACUAACCUCGCAAGUUGCGCGUCAGUAGCAAGGAAAGCAGAACUCCUUCAACCUCGCACGCUGUUUGGAGGCACCUCUAAUAUCGGUUCCGAACACCGAGCUUUUAUCUUCUUACUCUUUACUCUUGAGGCUAGGUGUUCGUCUCGGAUGGUGGAUAAAGCCUCGAGGCUAGAUGACCAGCUCAAAAUGAAGAUGAAGUUUCGAGGUUAGAGGGCGGAAGGCGUGAGAAAUGUGACCACGUGGAAGAGUUCAAUUUGUACACGUUUCCUUCAAUGUAAGGCAUAUCUUAGGAUUAUAGUGGUUGAGAAAGGAUACUGUAAAAGGAAGUCCUACCACAUUGUAAAGGGGAUUAGUUUUUCCAAUUGCAAACAUUAUUCCCAUUAUAACUUGGAUCUAUUUGGUGUCAAAUUCCUUUGAGACCAACAGUGUAUCUUAAGUACUGUAAUGAUUUGCUUGCUGGUGAAGUGUUGCGUCUGCUGGAGCCUGUAGCAGGGAAGCAACUGAUAUUCCUCUGCUCAACUUGCAACUCUCUUGCGAGCCCGACAAGGUAGCGCGCGCGCGUGCACGGCGCGGCCCGUCGUUUUCUCGUGUGGCGGCCAACUCGAUCGUCUGCGCCCGCGCGGCCGUAGAAGACUACAACGGCGUGACGUCCUCCCCAGCCGGUGCACGGUCAGGCUCAGGCCUGUCUUGUCCGGCCGAAGCGGAGCUGAAUGAACCAAACCGGUGGGAGAGCGCGGCCGUCAGUUUGUAGAAUGGAAAAGCCUCGGCUGCCGACGCCCGCCGGAAGACGCAACUUGCCGAGCCACACCACCACCACCCGCCGAUUCAGGAGGAAACCGAGGUGCGCGGGCGCGCGUAUAAAACAGCCGGCACAUCGCCUUCCGCUCCGGCAUCACCCCUGCAGGCCCCAGCGCAAGCAAGCAAGUCAAAUGCUAACCGAGUGAGCUGCUAGCUAGUUCUUCACUAGUUUUUGCACGGCCGGAGAAGACGAUAGGUGGGGAUGGAAGCGAGGUACGUGAAGGUGGCGUCCCGGUACUUCAUCGUCGGCAACGGGAACGCCGGCGACGGCUGCGGUGGUGGUGGUGAUCAUCGCCGCCGCCACUUCCUCGACGCCUGCUUCCUGUGCAAGCGGGACAUCACCCCGGGCCGCCACAUCUUCAUGUACAAGUACGCACGAUGCUCCCCGACCAUCGAUCGAUCUGUGUGUAUUAUUCUUUGACGACUGACCUCAUGUCCGCUACGCGCGGGCGCAUGCAGGGGCGACGCGGCGUUCUGCAGCGACGAGUGCAGGCAGGACCAGAGGGCCAUGGACGCCGCGCUCAAGGCCGCCAGGCGCCGCCAACGCUACCUCCAGCGCAGCGCGUCCCUGCCGGUGCCUUCGUCGGCCGCGGCGGCGGCGAUGCCCCGGAGGCCGACCGUCGCGGGCCUCGCCGCCCACGCCCCCGUCCUCUCCGGCUAGAGCUAGCUCCUCGCGGUCGCCGAUCCAUGCUGGGGGGAUACGAAGAUGUGCGUGCUUGAGUUCGUCGUGCUCGUGUGCCCCGGCGCCCGCUUGAUCGGUCUGGGCAAUUUUCGUGGCCUGCUGGUCCGGCGCCGGAGAAGAUGCACGCUGGCACACGGAGAGAUAGCAGAUAUUGCGGACAAGUUUACAGUUGCAUGAUAUGCCCGAUGCAAAAAAAGCUACAGUAGCAAAUUAUUAGAUGCAUCAUCUCCUCGCCGGUUCACAAGUACCUAGAGACAGUACUGCUAGCUAGGAAAAAAAUAAAUUAAAUAAUAAUGUAAUAACCAUCUGUUCGAUCCGUAGAACAUGUAAUAGCUAUCAGUACUUGCACUUAUCACUAGCAGAGAAGAGACUUUCGUCCAACAUUUUUAGCCCGGUCAUUUUUUGACUUUAGUCCUCCCGGUCAUUUUUUGACUUGGGACUAAACAUCCUUUAGUCCCGGGUCAAAUGGCCACCACCGACGACGGGAGCUUUAGUCGCGGUCAGUAAUAUCAACCCUCCUCCUCUCCCUUUCUUCCAGGCAGGCGGCAUGGCGCUGGCGGACUCAAGCCUGGCGGGCGAGAUUGAGGAGGUGGUGUGGUGAUCGAGGUGGAGCUGCAAGGGCAGCGGCACGAGCAGGCAAGAUGGUGGGGGUAGCCUUUUUUUUUAUUUUUUUAACCUUUGGUCUUUAGUCCUGAGUGAAUGAUCCGGAACUAAAGAGAGGGAUUUUUGGUCCCGAAUAGUUAGUCCCGAUUGGUUUUUCGGAAGCUAUGAGGCUUACCAACCUGGACUAAAACUCGGUUUUCCACUAGCUCCGAUGCCUCAAAGAGAUCCUCGACACCUUCACGGCCGCCACCUAGGGUUGAAAACGGACGGGUAAAAUACCAUCCCGACCCGCCCCGUUUUCCACAUUGUACCCGCCUGCUUUUGUUUUUUCGGAAAAAUCCGGGUUCAGGACGGGUCACGGAUUGACGGGUUGCGGGAGCGGGAUGGAAACGGGUGAGGCUCUAUCCCGGUCGAAUUCUUAGGAUCCCGUAUUUGAUCGGGAUGGACCCGGAUUUAACCUGAAUUUGACCCAGAUUUUGAGCCCAUGAGAAAAAACAGCCCAACAUCCCAACAAUUAACCCUAACCGAGUUAGUGAGUCACCACCCCACCCGGCCACCCCCACCCGUGCCACCAUCCCCUCUCAGUCCGACUCCCACUGUCCGCCUGUCCCGCUCAACCACUCAGGCCGCGCCGCCACCCCUUCUCCUCCGCCACCGGCCGGCCCGCCGCGGCGUCCUCAUCUGUCGUGCCACCAAAGGCGCCCCCAUGCCGCUCCCACUCCUAACCGUCGCCGCCCGGGCCCAGUUGCCCGUGCGCUCCGCGUCACCCCCCUCGCCCAGUCGCCCACCACCCUGCCCAGCGGCCUCCUCGCACCCACGCCGGCAGCCCGGCACCGACACGCCGCCUCCCCGGUCUCCAGCUCUCCACCUUGUGCCCACGUCGGCUCCCCACCUCCCUGCUUGGCGCCCACACCGCCGGUUGCCCGGCUCCAGCACGUGUCGUCGUCUCCCGGCAUCUCCAUCCUCCGAAGAUGUCACGCGCCGCCGUCUCCCGCCAUCCUCCCUUGUUUUGUGCUGUGCUGUGUGACUGUUGUUCACUGGCCGAAUGAAGUAGCCAGUGAAGUGAUGUGUGAUGAGGGUUCUUGGGCCACUUGCUGUUGGCCGAAUGUUUUGUGCUGUGUGACUGUUGUACACAUCAGUUGCCUGUUGUUCACUUGCAUGUUGGCCGAAUGUUUUGUGUUGUGUGACUGGUGCGUCCCAACUAAAGUUUUCGGUUACUGUCCGUUUUUAUCGAGUUUCCAGUCGUAGUGGUUCAUUUCCAUACACUUGUAUAACCCGCUCCGUUUCCGCUCUCGGCUGUUCUGCUCCUGCUCCCGACGAUGAAGGAAAUGGGAGAGGGGUUUUCCCGCCCGUUUCCAUCCGUUUUCAUUGCUACCGCCACCGGCCUCCACAUCAACUUCCACAAAAGUACCUUUGUGCCGAUCCAUGUGGAGCCGGCGGCCGCACUGGAGCUCGCCGCCAUCCUGGGAUGCCCUGUGGCCGGCUUCUCCCAAACUUAUUUGGGGCUGCCGCUCUCCACAGGGAAGGUCCCCGCGUCGGUGCUGGAUGCGCUUGCUAUCAAAGUGGAGCGCACGCUGCCGGGGUGGCGCACCUCUCUCCUAACUCCGGCGGGGCGCCUCAACCUAGCCAGCGCGAUGCUGAUGGCGCAGCCUCUCUCCGCCAUGGCUCAUGCCGCUCCCCGUUUCCACCCUGGACAAGCUCGACCGGCCUCACAAAGGCCUGUUCUGGAAAGGCGCCGCCAAGUGCUCGGGUAGCGACUCCCUGGUUGCAUGGCAGUAGGCGUGCCGUGAAGCGCCUACAGCCGUUCUGGGCGCGCGGGCACGCACCGCCGGGGUCUGCCGGGAAAGCGGCGGCACCUGUUCUGCCCCUCCCACUCUCUGGUACUGAGGUCAUGGAGCCUCCUUUUGCACUGUUGUUGCUUCUUUGAGAAAUGGUAUUUCAAUUUAAGUAGCCACGAAGACGAUAGCUAUAUGGGCCAAUAUGCGGUUCAGUAAAUAGGCCAGCGUCGCGAUGAUUACCAUCAAGUGGGCCUAGGUCCACCGCUGCGUGGCCAUCAUAUUGCCGUGGCCUGGAACAGCCGAGCGAGGGAGGUGAAGGCCAAUUCAUGGGCCGUCGUCGCGUAAUUUCCGAGCUGCUUUUCGAAUUCCGAUGAGUCAAUAAGUUGGUGAGGAUCAGUGAUGAGUCUCCUUCGUCACUGUACAUUGGCUCAUAAGAAGAACUGAUGAACCAAGCAAACAUUAUUAUGUACACAACAGUCCACUCCUCACACACAUCUCCUUCACCGCCCGGAAAGGAUCCGAGUUGGGGGAAAUCAAACAAGAAAUCUCUCAACAAGAACAUGCCAACGUACAAACACACACUCGGAUGCAAGAAACAAGAGUAUCAAAAAGCUGGCUGCACAGUACACUGAAGCACAAACGAAACAGCCAAAUGCAUAUCCAGUUUUGAUUUUUUUUCCCUUUCUUCCCUCAAGGUCCUGGAGUGGAUUGCUUGGUCUGUGGCGGCGGCCGGGCUACGCCGAUGUGGGUGGUCAACGCCCAAAGCACGGUGAUGAACUCGCCUCCCUGCACCAGCACCUCCUCGUGCCCCUUCACGCGCUCCUCGUCGUUCGACGGCGCGACGUAGACGAUGAGCUCCGUCCACACGUCGGCCAGGAGCUUCCACACUGCUUCAGGAUCAACCUCGUCCAUUAGCAGCUUCCCUAGCUUUGCGCCGUUCAGUACAACUUUGCUCCCAUCACUCUUGCCUGCUGCGGCUUCCGUUUUCUUGUUGUCUUGCUCGCUGUGACCUGGUGUUUCCACUUCAAUGUCCCUUAUCUGCACUGCUGUACUGGUUUCCUGCUGCUUGUUACUCUCAUCCUCUGUACUGGUUUCCUGCUGCUUGUUACUCUCAUCCUCUACGGCUUUCAUCAUCUUCUCGACCCUCGUGCUCUUCGAUGACAGGAAGUACACUCGGCACCCGAGCAUGUCCUUCAACUCCUUCUUCAUUGCCUCAAAGACAUCCUCCGCUUUUUCCUUGUUGUCGGGGAGUAGCUCAGGGUGGAAGGCCACCAAGUAGGCACAGUAAUUGGACAGCUUAAUCGCCACCAUUCUUACAUCUUCAUUUUUAUUGCUCGGAGGGGCACACUUGGCCUCCAAGAUGCUGGUGGCAAUGUGCAAUGUGAGGAUGACCUCGGCGGCGCUAUCGCUCGUGCAAGCCUCCCUUAGAGCAUGGUGUUGAGGAAUCUUGUGCUUCUCCAAUGCAGAUGUGCCUUUGGUAAGGGGAGUGUUAUUAGGAUGGCGAUCAUGUUCCACAAGACAAUCCAUGAUGGACUGCUUCAAGCUGUUGGGUACACCCUCUGUUCUUAUCGCCAAGAAGAGUGGGGAAAACAAUGGUAGGUGGGGUGGCCAACGGAGGUUCAACAUGGAAAAUUGCUUUACCCUAAGGGGGGCAUGGCUCAUCCUGCUCCGUAGCCACAGGAGACGGCGGAAGGCUCCACCAAAGGUGGGGCUCCGAGGCCAGUCGUAUUUGGCCCUGAAGCUGCAUAGCACUGAGACCAUGAACCAAUUGGAGAGUAGGAAAACAACGAACUCCCAUAUCUCCUCGUAGAAGAAGAUGAUGAAUAGAAAGGCAGUUAUAGAAAGGUCUACUAGGGAAAAGAAGGCUGGGGCCUUAUUAUCGAGGGCUUUGGCUAGAAGGCAUCUGACUAUUUUUGAAACUCCAUGCUGCAAGGUGUAGUUGUCUCUACCGAGGCUUUUGAAUGCAUAUCCAACAUCUCCAUUGCCGCACAGAAUAAUAGACAUGAGGCACAGGACGGUUACGACUAUGGGGAGAAGAAAGUAGUUUGCUAUGAGGAAGAAGGGGCUCGCGAAGACGACAGGGAUGACAGAGUGGUAAUACUCACUGAGGAAGUUGACCUCAUCAUUCAUCACUUGGAAUAGUACAUGUGCAUCCUCCUUUCUUCUUUGGCCGUACAAGCCAUUCAAGAGGAACUUCCGGCAGUCGCGUGCCUCUUCAUCGCUCAUCGCCGGCUGAUGCUCAAACCUUCGACGCAACAAUUUGAAGAGAGCAAACGAGAGGCAGAUUCUCUUGAGGUGUUGGAUUUCCUUGUGCUGACUGCCUGUCUCGGGAAGCUCCCAAACUUUACCAACAGUGAUGACGCCAUCGUCGUUGGUCGGAAAAAAGAACUCAUACCCAUCUGCAGUAGCCUUCUUCACCAACUUGUUUUCUCCCAUGACAAUGUACUUGCACCUCUUCAACAGCUCGUCUCCGUCCUGGACAGCUUGGUGGCGCUCUGCUUGAUGCUCCUCACGUUCUAGCAUCUGAGCCAUGUAUGAGGUGAGUACAGAAGCGUUCUUGCCAUGGGCAUAUGAACGCUUCCCCACCUCGGUGAAGACGAAUCUCUGCGCCACUUUUGUGGCACAAAGGAUCCAAAGGAUGCUGAACACCGCCUUCCGACCAACGCUCUUGAUGUUGAAGAAGACAAGGUUUCCCAGCCAAACAACGCGGCCGGCGCGCUGGAUGGUGCUCGAGUGCCCGCGCAUGCGGAUCUCGUCCACCUUCUUGCGGAGGAGCUCCACCAGAAGCAUCCAUACCAGGAUCAGCCCGGCCGUCAGCGAGAGAUCAGCCACGGUGGUGGUGGUGGAGGAGGAGCUCGUCGUCGUCGUGUUCCUCGCGUUCUUGGCCUCGGAGAAGAGGUAGGACAUGACGGGGAGGAAGAGGGAGAGCGCCGAGGAGAGGAAGAGCCGGACUUUGGGGUCGAGGAUGGCGCUCACGUCGGAGAUGCCGCUGAAGAGGUUGAGGCUGAAGAAGAGGCCGGCGAGGACGAACAUGAUGGUGGUGGAGGAGACAAUGGUGGGCUCAUUGCUCUUAUCUAUGUAGGAUGAUGUGAGGUUGGAAAUGUACAUAGUCAUAUUUGGAUCGCAGAAUUCUCUCGGGUCAAGCUUGAGUGCAAAGUGAAGGACCAUUGUGUGGUAUACGGACGAUUACUUGAGAGUAAUCUUGAGUUUAUCGUAGCUGGGGUUUGGUUUGGUUCAUCUCUGGAGCAUUGCAUGGCUAUAUAAGCUAGUUUGGUGUGUGCAGUAAGCUGCGUUCGCGGUGGCCAAUGGCGAAUGGCAUCGCGUGCUUGCCAUGUUUUUUGUUUGGUGUCCGUUACAGAAGCUAGAGUACGUUGAAGCUCAGAUUAUUACUGGUUGACUGCGACUGGCAUCACUUGCUUGCCAAGUCUUGAAUUGAUACAAAGUGCUUCGCAUGAUUAUCUGCUCUAAUUAAUAACAUUCGAUCUGUGAGCUACUUUAUUCGAUCUGUAUGUGUUUGCCUUUGGUGUUUAUUAAUCCCAGAAUAUUUUCUCUUCUUUACCAAAGGACACAGAGGACGACCAUGACUCCAUGAGAUCGAAUACGUGAGCUAGUUUCUUUAACUUUUCUGUAUUUUGUCUUUGGUAUUAUUAAUGACAAUAUUUCUUUAUCAAAGGACUGCAGAUCACUAUGAGAAUGCGUUAGUUUAUAUUAGUUCUCCUGCCUUUUUAUCUUCUGUGUUUCAUAAUUCCACACUAUCUUUACUUUACCAAAUUAAAGGGCGGGCGCACUGUCUCAGUUAGGCUAUUGUAGACCCUUUUGUUUUAUCAUGCUUUUAAAGAUGCCAUGCCAUGUUUCUAGUAAACAAGUUAGGAUUUGAGAAAAUGUUUAGAGAUAUACACUUUGAUAAUAUAAUUAAUUUCUUACAAUAUAUAAUCAAUUGAUACAAGUUAAUUAAAUAAAGAUCAUAUUAACAAUAAACAUAGAGAGUAAUUAAAUAACCUUAAAUUAUUCUUAUUAUACGAUUCGCAUGAUAUGGUUUAUGUUCUUGCUAUGUUUAACCAUCUAAGUAUGAUGAAAUUCCUUAGUAGCUAGCUUAGCCCCAUUCUAGGCAUUCUUGAACCCUACGCUUACAUAAAUGGAGGAAUAGGAUGGCACAAAGAGGAUAGUAGCCGCGACAAUGGGUGGCACUUGUAACUGCAUAGGGAGCCUGAGCUUCAAGAACAUCUGAGUUGUUAACUGCACUGUGUGAUUUACUUGGUCAUUAACAAGCGAGCUCAGAUGUCGCAAUGUCCACAUGUCAGGCACAAUGUCACAUAUUAAUUACUGUAGAAAGGUAUAGCCAACGUGGUUUGAUGUAUAAGAAUACAACAUGUAUAUACGAACAUCUUGAAACUCUCAAGCAUUUUGUAAGAAGAAAAGGAUGGAGGACUGAUUCAAUCUCACGAGGUAGUUUGCGACCACGUCACAUGUUAAACCAUGUUCUUGAGUGGGCAUAGACCCUAUUUGAAAUUGUUGGACAAAAUAAUUUUCUCGUUCACAUCCUGAUCAAAUAACAGAAUCUAACAUAUAUAUAACAUGUUAUAAAGAUCACAUGAAUUUUUUUUGUCAUUUCAACCUGUUUUCAACCACGAGAACAAGAAGAGAAGGAUGAAUCUAGAAUAGUGAAUGAUUUGGGGAUAAAAAAAUCUUGAGACAGAUUAAUAGACAGACAUAUACCCUUUAUUUAUUUAUUUUUCAGGAAAACAAGUACAUAGAAAAAUUGCGUACAAUGAAGCUGAUCAAUACUGAAUGAUUACUGAGACUGACACGCAUGACAUUGUUCCAAACUUCCAAGCAACAUAGAUGGUCAAGAUUGCACUGUCGAUCGAGUAUCCUCCAUUGGCUAAGCAGUCAGCACUCAGCAGGCGCCACGGCGGAAUCCGACGGCCCCGCCGCCGAUGUCAUACAGCACCUCAAGCGUCCUCUGCUGCACGUUGCCGAUGAUCCCCACGGACUCGUCGUCGCCGGUGGACGCGAAGGCGAGGCAGCCGUCGAGAAUGGUCCCCGACCGGUCGAGCUCCACCGUGGCGCCCCUCUCGAACACGAGGGAAACGCUUGGAACCUUGACGUCGUCGCCGACGGCAUCGCUGAUGUUGAAGCACGUGUCCAAGAUCGCCGACGACGACGCCACCCGCGGGUACAUCUUCAUCUCCUUCCUGAACGCCGCCCGAAGAACACGGUACGCCUUCGGGGGCAGCCGCGUGAUGAUCGUUCCCGAGUCCAUGACCGCGCCGGCGCUGAACGCCGACGGGGGCACGCGGAGGCGCCGCCCGGCCACGGUGAUGCCCUGCAGGAGCACGAGGUAGAAGGUGUCGACGCUCAUGGUCCUGUACAUGGGCGUGACCGUGAACCUCGACGAGGAGGCGCGCGGCACGCCGAGCGUCAGGAAGCCGGAGUAGUUCGCCGCCGGCGGGAGGCAGUAGGAGAAGGCCUUGGUCGCCGUCUGCGACACGAGCGACGGCGAGCCGCCGCCGAGACCCAUGAGCCCGUCGGCCUUGUCGCUGAACAGCUGCGCGGCGUGGCUGCAACCGAACUGGAAGUGGUCGACGGCGUACGCCGGGGUCAGCGUCAGCUUGUCGGUACUGUACGUCCCGGUGGUGUUGGAGCCGUCGCCGUAGUUGACGAUGUACUGGCACUGGCGGCGCUUGGAGCAGCCAUUGCCGUAGAGAUCACGGCUGAGACCGUUGCAGGCGGCGGAGCCGCAGCCGAUGGCCGAGUACGUGGCCGACCUAGCCGGGUUGAAGAGCUUGUCCUUCUGGGGGUGGCACGCCGUGGUGGGGCACGGGCGGCACUGCACCCACGUCACGUCGCUGCCGGUGUCGAUGUGCACGGUCUGGGUGACCGCCGGCGUGCCGAGGCCCACGGUGACGACGUACUCCAAGGUGUCCAGGGAGGAGCCAAGCGUGGUCGGGACGGUCACGUCGCGGCGCUUUGCUCCAGCAGUGCCGUUGAGGCCCUUCCGGAUGCGGUCGGCGCGGAGGCGGUCCCGGUGGAGCACGUCGGCCGUCGAGGGUAUGGUCUCCGAGGAGGGGAACGGUGAGCAAGGGCCUCGCCGGUGGUUCAACGGCAGCCAAGUGCGACUGGAGAGUGGAAUGCUCACUGAAAAUCAACAUAGGUAGGGUGAUCAGCUGCGCAUUAGUAGUACUUAGUUACUUGAAAAUUAAAUGUGGCUGGAUGAAUAUAGUACCGCAACCAUGGAUUUCUUUUCAGAAAGGAUAAACAAAAGGAGUAAAAAUUAACCUCUGUGGCCGGAGCAGACGGCAUUGGAUUUGAGCGUGCUAGUUGUUGCAUGAGCAAUUGGAGAAGAAACACACAGGACAAGAACUAGCGGCAAAACAGGAAUCAUUGUAAAUUCUCUCUAAUUCUUUUUCUUCAGUGAACGUUUCUUCAAAAUUCUAGCUAGCUAGUGCAGCAGGUUGUGCUUCGAAACUCUAAGCCUCGAACAUAUAUAGGCUGUGUGGAACUGCACAGUUAGAACAGAAAGCCAUUUUUCAUGAACUUACAUUCUAACUGAUCAUUAAGGCACAAAAGAAAUCAUACGAGUGCAACUAUCUAUGGGGAAUAUUCAAUAUACUCUACAUGCACUAUGAUAUCUAGUGUAGAGCAUACUAAUGAAAUUUAGGAUUCAAAAUUUAUCCCGCGAAAACACAAUUGUACUUUUGGACAAGCUUGCAGGACUAUUGUGCUAUUUUCUGCAUGUGCAUCAAACUCGUCCAUAUAAUAAUUAGGAGGAGGAUUCCUGUUCUUUUCUUUAAACUUGUGCAUACACAAUUAACUAUAACAUGUGACCAAAAUGCCAUCUGCAUGAGCAUGAAACUCUUACAUGCAUAAUGGUUAGAAGCAUCUAAGUCAUUUUCCUUCAUCACUAUUAUUCUAUCUAAAGAUUUCUAUGAUUGCAUUCUUUGCAAGAUGGAGGGAUACUAUGUAUAUAUAGAUAGUAGUGAAGUAUUCUAGUUGACACGUACAUGUGGUGACUUCGUAAAUCUCAAAAUAUGUUGGCUCAAUCUCUGUUAGAUAUCUACAGAGAUAGGAUGUGUGCACGCGCGCACACAUUUAUUAAGUUGAAUGUGUACGCACGUAUGUGAGUGACUGUACUUCAGAAAAAAAAAUGAUCCAAACCCUUGCUACAGGUUUUCAAUCCCGCGUGUAUUACUGUAAAUGACGUGCCCAACAACCUCAAGCAACCAAACACACACAUCCUUCAUAUUCCCGGGUCGUCUCUCCAGCCUGCAGACAAUUGAGCUUAGGAAUGCAAGCAAACAAGCCCUAAACCUUUCAGCCCAAGUAAGAAUCAAUGCAAUACGUCAUAUCAGGCCCCUUAAACUGUUGAUAUAUAUGGUUCCUAGCAUUUUAUUAAACUUUAUUUUUGUGAUAACAUUUUUAAGAGCGACUGCUCCAAGCUUUUGGAACCUGGUUCUUUUUGGAAGGACCCAUAUGUCUAGAAUUAUUCGUUAUGAUGAUAAGAAACUUUAUUUAUUGGAGUAGAAACGAUAAUGCUAACUUAAAAAGUAGGCAAUAACUUAAAAAACUUUUGUAUUUCUUUCUGCAAGAUGACUUGUGCUCUCUCCGAAUUGAACCUUUUGUGGCCCUCUCCUUGAUUUUGUGAGAUGAGCCCAAGCCAAGUUUGUUCUCGGUUACAUCAUCAUGGAGGCAUGGACAUCACCGAAGAGGACUGUUCCAAAAUAGCAACUGCCACGUCUGCCCUCACAUGGCUAAGCAUAGGAGGUUAAGACCAACACCUUUUGUUUGUGUGUGUACGUAACCAAGCUGCCAAUUACAAGGAGUACACUGCUCCUUUUUAUGUUACUAGCAAAAUGCCCGUACGUUGCUACGGUGAAAUGAUAAUCAUAUUUUUAAAACUCGUGGGGUUUUUUCCUAUUUCUAUCACUAUAUAUUUAUUGCAUUUCUGUUAACAUAUAUCCUUAUACUAAAAUAAUUAUUCAUUUCUCAAACACAAUAAACCAAAAUAUUUAUUGUUUGAUGCUUUCUUGCUAUGCGUGUUUGGUUAAUUAUUUGUUUACGAGGAGAUAUAGUGUCUAGCUGUUGUUCACAAGAAAUAGUGUCCAAGUAUUUUAAAUGAAGCUUAAAGUUUGAAAGGUGGGCUAUUUAGAUUGUCAGAAGUGCAUUGGAAAUUUCUGAAACUAAAACUGGAAUGUUCAGUUCCUGGUUGCCCGUGCGUUGCUACGGGUCAUUACUUGCUCUCACGUUAUUAUACGUUUGUUUAUAAUAUGUUAGCUUCGCUUCACAAUAUGUGGUAGACAAUUCAUCAAAGAUGAGUGGCAAAAAAGACCAUUACUCCAUCACCAUUAUAAAGGAAACAACAAUUACCACCCAAAUAUGAAACGUAUAGGAAGAUAUCAGCAAAUACUACAUAUCAAACAACAGUGACAUCAUCAGGAAUACUGAAUGCCUUAACAGAUAUCGGUUGUACCUAUUUGGUGAGGACCUCUGAAUACACUAUAUUCUUUGUGUAUCUAUCGGUUGUGUCUUUUUGAUUCACCUUUUUCUUAUUUGAAACUGGAAUGUUCAGUUCCUAACCGAAAGUCAGAGCUCUCAAUCUUCCAAACCAAAGAUCUUUUGAGCAAAGUUCCAAUCUAGAACUUGCAGCCCUAUAGUACCUCUACAAGUUUGGUUAAAGGUGCUUGGAGAGUUUGUUAUUGGAUUUGGAUGAUCUGUGCUCGAGAAAAGGUAGCCUUUCGGUGCUUUGGAGAUAAUUGACAGGAGAAAAUUCUAAAGGUUCAGUGUAACCGGUGUUUUUCCCAAAGUUCAGAGACUUUUAUCUUUCGAUCCUAUGGAACCAAAGCCCUAUCUAACACAUGUAGCUCGUUGAUCCAGAUACAUCUUUGUAUAAAGACGAUUUGCAAGUUUAUGUUUGGAUUUGGACAAGAAUCGUUGGGGAAGGGACUGCUUUUCUGUAUUUCUGGAGCAGCUACAAGCAGCAAUAGCAGCUCGCAGCACUGCCACCACUACUUAAGCCUCCGCGGUGAAAAUCCUCACGUGCCACAUGCCGGCAAUGCCGCCGAGGCUGCAUGCAGGGGCAGCGGCAGAGUGCCCUGCUCCGGCUGGCACCCGCGCCAAAUCCUCCUCCUUCGCCUCUCUGUUUUGAAGAAAGGAGAAGCUUUUUGCCCUUUAGCGCCCUCCCUUCCCUCCUUUUUCCACCUGAGCCCCCCUCUCUUCAGAAUUUGGACUGCGGGUUGAUUCCAUAAAAAUUGAGGAACUUUUUUGCAAAAUGACCAUGACGUAUGAAAAAAAACUGGGUAGAAACCUUACUUGCUUUAUGGAAAAAACAUGUUAGUAUGACAUAUUUUCACUUAUAUAUAUCAAAAUGCCCGAGCGUUCCUACGAUGAAAUGAUAAUCGUAUUUUUAAAACUCAUGUUUUUUUCUAUUUGUAUCACUAUAUAUUUAUUGCAUUUCUGUUAACAUAUAUCCUUAUAUUGAAAUAAUUAUUCGGCCAUCAGCCGUGGCUUCUUCUCAGGGUCGGACCCGUUGUACUGCUUCAACUCCUCUUGAGUCUUAAUUGUUUGCCUUACCGUUUUUGGCCCAAUAUCUCCCCCGACAUGGCAGCUUAACUUCGCACCUGGCUCGUAGCCAUCCAUCUGGAUUGGGCGGUCGAGACAAUCACGAUGCAAAACACAACUCGGACACUCGUGAUGCAAAACACAACUCGGUUCCAGCAUCUCAUGUGAAAUCCUAAGGUGACGUUUGGACGGUGGAUGUGAUAUGAAAAUGGAUAUAAGAUGGGAUACGGAGAAGUAGAUUAUGGAUUGGGAAAUAAAACUCCAAUCCGAAUCCAUGGUUUGGCUGUGCUUAGGAAAUGGUUUGGAUUUAAAGCGGAACCCACGUGCAAUAGAAAAAGAAAGGAAGAGGACUUGGCCGUUUUCUCUUUUUGAUGCAACGGCACCGUCAUAAUCCAAACUGCGAGGCACCCUUAUCUCUGGUUCUCUCUUCUCUUCGUCCACGCUGGAUCUUACCCCGUAUUCGUGUUUAGGUUCUUUAAUUUGGGUCUAGAUUUUCUACGGGACCCACAAACUAAUUAAAAAAAGGACGGUCCUUAUCUUUUGGUGCCUUGUUCGUUCACAACCACAUGGUGCUACUCGAGCUCCGAGGCGAGCAGCACACUCUGCCACAGCACGACAAGACCGAGGCUUCAGCUGCGUGCGAUUCGAGUGGCGGCGGCGACCACUACGCGCGGCACCUGCGGUGGCGAGGACCAUGCGUAGCAUCUACCGUGGCUGCGCUCCCGCUCGUGUGGCUGCGGUGGCGGUGGCUUCGCUUCCCUCCGCGUAACUCCGAGCGCAAGCCAUGCGGCGAGCUCCGACGUCCACAGCAUGCUCCGGUCCCGACACUUCAAGCUGCUGCGGUUCCUCUCGCAUGUGCGCGCGUGUGGACAACGCACGGGCAUCAGUACGGCGGCUGCGGCGGGGAGAUCCGGGCGGCCGCGGAUGGGAAGCUCCAGUUGGCGAGCUCUGGGUGACGGCUUCAGCGGGGGAGAUCCGGGCGGCUGCGGAUGGGGAGCUCCAAGCGGGCGCGUGGCGCCGCCUCGGCAACGGGCGGGCGGCGCGGCCGUGGUGGGGCGCCCCGCUCCGGCCGCUGCCCGCGCCCCGUCCCCCUCCUUCGCCUCCUUGUUUUGGAUUGGAGAAAGGAGAAGUUUUUUCCCUUUAAACCCCCUCUCUUUCCUCCUUUUUCAAUCCGACACCCAGACUAUUCAUAAUAAUGGACUGCGGGUUGAUUACACAAAACAUCAGGGUUUUUUUUGCAAAAUGACCACGACGUACGAAAAUCCAGGCAGAGGCGUUACUUGCUUUAAUAAUAGGUAAAGAUAAUGCAAAUGCAUGUGCUUUCUAUAUAACCAGGAAUAAUCAGCAAUCUUACUACUACUAAUCGGAGGCUCCCUUUGAAGCCUCUAGGUGAAGCCACCUAGGAUUCCUAGCUGGACACUCUAGAAAAAGAGUGAAAUCCUAGAAAUUCUCACAAAAAAAGCAAAACAUCUAACCAUCAAUCUAUAGAUUCAAAUCAUCAUAGCCAUUGGAUCUAUUAUGUUUUCUAAAAAAUUACCCACCUAUGCCAUUAUGAAAAUAGCCUAAAGUAACCCCCUAAAACUAUAUAUAAAUUACCCACCUCUACCAUUAUAGAAAAUAAACUAAAGUAACCCGUAAUCUUAAUCAAAAUUACCCACUUAUGCCAUUGUAAAAAAUAUUUAAAAUAACCCCCUAAUUUGCGACUGAAUUGCCUACCACUAUUACUUAAAAAACUUAAAGUAACCCCUUAAAUUUGUAUCUAUAUUACCCACACAUGCUAUUAUUAAAAAUAACAUGAGGUAAUAACCCUACGUAAUGUACAACAAUAUAUGAUUCUAAAUUGUCUAUAUCUUGCACUAUUGGUAUACGAUAUAAUAAUUAAGGUUUAUACGCAUGAUGUGUGUCACCAUUUAUAAUUAAAGAUAUAAAGUGAUGGGAAUAUAAUUUCUAUGCUAAAUUAAAGAUAUAAAGUGAUUGCAUAGAGUAAUUAUUAAUUAAAAAUUAAUCACAACUGAAUAAAGAUAGGUACAUACCUAUAUAAGUAUUAUGUUGAAGUAUUGGAAAAAUAAGAGAGUAGUAGGUAAACAAUUUUGAUCAUUAGCUAAGAGUUUAAUUUGUAAAUAAUUUUCAAAUACAAUAGCUUCUAAAAAUAUUAGUCCGUGCGGGAGCACGGGUUGAUGGACUAGUGACCACAAGAUCAUAUCCGCCUUUUGCUUUGCCUUUGCUCGAUCCAAUUCCUGGCAGCGUCCUUAACACACAACGUUUUAAGCACUCUUGCGAAUAACAGCUAUACUCUUCUAGCUGUUCAGAAUCAGUACGAGAUGCGUGCAUCAUGUCCUUCUUUAUUGGUGCUGCCUUUGAUGGACAAGCAUCUUUUUGAAAAACAAAGACCUUAUUUUUCAUACAAAAAUGCCACUAACUAACUCUUGUUUUCAAACAAUCAUACAAACAUGCAUGGUCAGUACGUAUACCUGCACGUAUCUACGUACACUAGCAUGACUACUCUCUCUCUCACAUCAAGCAACGCCUGCGCGUGCGACGAUCUAUUAAAAAAACGUUCAGCGGCAGCCAGCGCGCCACUUUGAUUUUUAUGCAAACCAAUACAUUAUUAGCUGCACAAGGCACAAACCAAUACGAACUUAAGCAUGGCACCUCCAGCUCCGGCGCCUCAGGCGGCUGCGACGAGGGCGACGACGAAGAGCGUGAAGGCCCCGACCGUGAAGCAAUUAAUACAUCAUAGCAGCUCUGAUGGCGGUCCUGGUCGCGGCGAUCAUCGUCACCGUCUUCUUCAUCGUGCUUAGCCCCGUGCGCAUCCUCAUUUUCGUCGCCGACGCGAGCAGCCACCACUAGGUCAUAAAAUAUCUGUGCUGGUGGCUAAAAGGGAUCUGUGCUGGUGGGCCGAGCACCCACCAACAACCUUGAGCCAGUACAAAUGGCGUCUGUAAUGGCGGGUGCUCGCCCGCCAGCAUAGACCGCUCUGUGCUGGCGGGCGACGUUAGCCACCCGCCAGCACAGAUGCUUUCCAAUCCAAUAUAUUAUUUCCCGUGAGGUAUUUAUAAUUUCUAUUUCCCGCCAGUUGUUAGCCCGUGAGUUAUUUAUAAUUUCUAUUUCCCGCUAGUUGUUAGGCGUUAAAUUGAAAUAUGUAUCUCCAACCAUUAGUGCCGGUUAUCGCCAGUUGUUAGCUGGUUGGCGGCGGGAUUUCUUUUUUUAUUUUUUAAUACCCCUUUAGCACCGGUUAUUUGACCCUGUAGUAAAGACCCCCCUUUAGUACUGAAGUAGCAAUACUGGUUGCACAACCGGUACUAAGUGGAUUAGUACUGGUAUUGAACACUUUCCCCAGUAGUGUUCCCCGAUGCCGCUCAAGUUACCGGCGUACCACCAGCUCCACUGCCGGUUCUUUGCGUGUAGUUUACCUAAUGGCCACUCAAGCUCAAGUCUCAACUAGUGCACUAAAAAGCAAAAUCAAACCUAUAAACCCAGCCCUCAAACACGUAUAUGUUCCUUUCUUCAAACUCUUUGAAACAAAAAAAAAAGAGUGUGCUAAGUACUUCGGUUCCAUAUCUCUUCUUUAUUUAAUCAAAAUCAAACUUUGGUCCUGCUAGAGCGAAAACGAGAUUGUUGGCUUGAUGACUGGGAACAUUAGCUUACAAAGAUGGAGUAUCACACAAUAAAAAUAUGCAAUAGAUAAAUCAACUACUGACCCGAGAUUUUUAAUGUUUAAGACUAAUUAUAAAGGAAUUUCCUGCAGGGAAAUGGGGAUAAGAGCCCAUUGACACCUGAUUUUGUUGUAUGGAGACUCAAAUCCUACCACUAUGACUCGAGAGUGUUGUUAUUAGGAUUUGUAUUAGAAAUUGAGUGUUGGCUCCUACAAGCAUGUUUGAGGGGUUAAGAGUGACUAUAUUACUAUAUAAACAAGAUUUGGAGACCAUAAUGAUCAAUCAAGCCAAGAGGAAACAAAUUAAGGAAACACAAGAUCUCAUCUAAGAUUUGCAAGGUAGGAGCGCUCAAAAGGUUUAGGCUAGGUAAUUUAUAGUACUAGAUUCUUAUAUAGGAUGAGAAUGAGAGAGUUCUAAAGGAUCAAGUAGAGUUGUGAGCGAGCGACAAUCACUUAUACUUGUGUAGAGUUCUAUUUAAAGGCCUUGUCGGCUUUGCCAAAAUAUUAUCCUAUUUGUUGUGGUUGCUUCAACGCCUUCAUCAAGGGUCCUCUACAAGGUUCAUCUACAUCAUCACUCUUCAUAUGGUGUAAGCUUGUUUCAUACUCACAAUAUCGUUUCUAGAUCCGAGGAUUGUUGCCCACAAUUAGGGUAUUAGAACUUGAUAGUAUUCAGGGUGUUCUCCAACGAGGCAAUAAUUGAGAGGUGAGACAAUGAAAAUAAGGCCAAAACUAUUCAGCUCAAGUAGCUAGGAACCAAUAUGCAAUAGGAUGACAUUCCUUCCUUCACACUAGGCCAAAAAACGUUUUUGCUAGUGGCUAAAAUAGGUUUAUGCUGGCAAGUAUAGCACCCGCCAGCAACCUUGAGCCAGCACACUAGUGACCGGAUGUUGGAUGAGAAUCCGGUCGGUACUUUCAACCCGCGCAAGCACUUGCAUAUAGCCAAUCUCUCAUCUGGUUAGGUUGUAGCUAGACGGGGGAAGGUAUUGCUUACCAUUAGGAAGUUCUUGUGGGUGGAGCUUUGGCCUGAUUUUAAGGUCAACCAUAUCCUUACGUGAUUUUAGUUUGUCCUUUGCCUUUUCUGAUAAGCCCAAGAAUCCGAUGGUGCUAUCAAACACAUUCUUCUGAAGAUGCAUCCCAUCAAUGGCAUGACGCAUCACCAGCUCUUGCCAGUAUGACAAAUACUUAAAGAAGAUAGACAUAUUCUUAAAUGGCACGUCGGCGAUGCAUGUAGUUUCAGCUUGCUUCCUUCCCAUUUUCAUAUUAUCAACACCAGCUAAUGACUUCAUACCGAGUUUGAACUUGACCUUCUCGCACAUUUCAAAUACUAUUUUACCUAUAGCCGGUUGCGGAGCAAAAUCAUUCUCGUUGGUGCCAUCAAAAAAGUCCUUCAUCCUGCUACAUUUGUGUGUCUUCAAUAAGAACCGUGUAUGCCGCAUGUACACUGUCUUCAUAGAUCCCUUAAGGUACACAUAUGAUGUUCCAUCCAAGCAAACUACGCAUACUUUCUUACCUUUUACCUGACCUGUCAGGAAAAAUAGGGUGGGAUAAUCAUUGAUGGUAACAAAGAUAAUGACCCUUAGUGUGAAGUGCUCCUGUCUGUACUCGUCCCACAUCCGAACCCCAUCCUCCCAAAGCUUCUGCAUAUCUUCCAUCAAUGGCUCAAGGAAAACAUCUAUGUUGAUGCCAAGUUGCUUUGAGCCUUGUAUGGGAAUGGUUAGCAAAAGGAACUUUCUCUUGUGACGUAGCCAUGGGGAAGGUUGUAUAUGGUCCUCGGCAUUGCCCAUGUGCUGUGCGUGCUGCAUCUUUCACCAAAUGGAUUAAUGUCGUCUAUACUCAACACGAACCGCACAUUCCUUUUUUUCAUGGGAAAACUCUAGAUGAUUGGCAUCGGAGGUCCUCCACUGGCAAGCAUCAGAAGGGUGUUGAAGUUUUCCGUCAGCCUUUACUGGGCGAUUGGCAUGCCAAGUCAUCAGUUCAGCGGUUUUUGGGUUUGAGAAUAAACGCUUCAGAUGGUCCACCACCGGCAAGUACCACAUCACCAAGGUAGGAACUCUUCACUGAGUCGUGUUAGUACCUAUAUAGGAUUCGUCCUCCACUUGAACACUAACAUUUUUAUUUGCACCCUUCUUCCUAUUAUUCCUAAUGGAGGAACCAGCACGGUCCUUAUAGAAAUCGGCAGUACUUUUGCAACGGCUAGAAUCGCAAUUUGAACACUUUUCCAAUGCUGUGUACUCACCACGGUACAAUAUGCAGUGGUUCCUGCACGCACGUAUCCUUUGCACAUGCAUCUUCAAUAGAUUGAUAAUCUUCUUUGCUUCGUAUUUGUUUUUGGCACAAAUUUAGGCUUUAGGAGCAAUUUGCCCAGUAAGGAGAUCAUUGAAACUAUUGUCUGACUAGCCGAAUUUAGCCUUCAGGAUCAGAAGAUGAAGGACAAAACGCAAGACUAUCCACUCCUUCCCACAGCCCUCAUACAUACGGUCCUUUGCUACCUUUUUGAGUGUCUCAAAAUUCUCUAACCCUUUAGGACUUUCUAGCAACACUUCCGGUUCAAUGUGGCGCAACAUGUCCUCCAUAUCAACAUUACGUUCCUCGUCCACCUAUGGUUCCACACGUGCAUCUGUUUGAUCACCAUUUUCAUCUCCAUGGUCAUAUAAUCAUCAUCCAUUAUAACAUGAUCAUUUUCAUUUGCAUCAUCACCACCCACUUCAUCAUAGCCAGUGUCGAUGUCUGUGUUGUUGAAAGUACCUCCUGCCUCACCAUGAUGGGACCAAAUUGUGUAUUCAUCCACAGAAUCUCACUUUAUCAAAUGCCUCUUGAUAACAUCAUUAUCCUCUCAUAUAAUAUUGUUGCUGCGGUCAAAACGCGGACAAUGUAUUUGCAUUGUCUGGCAACUACAACCAUACUUCUCCGCAGCCUUGAUAAACUUUGAUACCUCUAACAUGAAUGUAUGCGAAUGUCUCCGUAUGCCAUACAUCCAUACUCUAUGAUCCACCUUUAACUACCUAUGACAAUAAUUGAUAAGUGCGAAGAAAAAUAAUCAAAUUUCAUUCUAUAGUAAAUUAAUCAAACACAAUUCUAUAUUACAUUAAAUGAAAAUUAAUUAAACUAUGGAUGUAAUAAAUAAUAAGUAGGAAGAAAUAUAAUCAAAAUCAAUUCUAUAUUACCCUAAAUGAAACUCAAUUAAACCAUAGAUGUAAUAAUUAAUAAGUAGAAAGAAAAACAAACUCAAUUAUAUAUUAAAUUCAAUCAAUCUCAUUAAUUAAAACUAUGGAUCUAAUAAUUAAUAAGUAGGAAACAUAUAAUCAAACUCAAUUCUAUAUUACUUUAAAAUGGCAAACAUAGUAUUGUAAUGGUUAUAAUAUGACCAUAUAAUUUUAUUUACAAAAAUAAUCCAUCUCUAAUUUAUUUAUCUCUCUUCCCUCCUCUCUCUUCUAGGUUUAGAUCUAGAUGACAACCUAAUGAAGCUAGAAAUGAUGGAUAGAAGUUGAAAAAGAAGAUUAGAAUGGCACAAGCUCACCUUAUAUAGCCACCUCCUCCAAAGAAAUCAAGAGCAAAACCUUCCCCUUGAAUUUGGUGUUUCUGGAGCUUUUCCCGAGCUCCUCUUGGGCAAACUCCCAAUGGAAGGUUGGUUGGGGAAGAAGCUAUCCACGGUCUUAUCUGGGCGAGAUCUGUGCUGACGGGCAACAUAAGCUACCCACCAGUACGGAUGGGGUGCAUCUGUGUUAGCGGGUGCUUAGGUCGCCCACCAGCAUAGUGGCACUUGUGCUGACGGACCCUCCCCUGCCGGCCCAAGGAAGCUUUGUGCUGGCGGGUGUCAAUCACGCCCGCUAGCAUGCUAAAUUCCCUGUGCCAGCACAAAUCAAUUCUGGCGUAGUGUCAUGCAGUCUGGAACAGGAAUUUUUUUCUUUUCUUUAUGAAUACACACAUUAUUAAAGUAUCCAUCCACUCAAAAAGACUUGUUUCAGGUUUUGUGUCAAUUUGUUUAAACAUUGGUGAUCGUUACCAUCUUUUGACGUAAAUUGAUCAUAUGAAAGAAUAGAAUUAUCUUGAAAUUAAAGUCGAUGUCAUAUUAUAACAAAUUCUCUACAUUUUGCAUAGAUUGAUAUACGCUAGUAAUGAGUAAUCAAGAUAAUGUAUUGGCAACCAUGCAUGUUGUCAAUAUCUAAUAAAAUGAACUAUUUCGUGACUGUACCUGAGGGUGCUCCUGCCACUCAUUAGUUGUAUUAAAGCUACGGUUUCUAAACAUGCAAAAGUGCUUAUCGCAAAAUUUACUCAAAUGCUGGCAGAUGCAUGGCUGCCAGCAUUUGAGUAAAUUUUGCGAUAAGCAUCUGGGUUUCUUUUGCUAAAACAGUUUUUAAAAGUGGCUGCCCACCUCCAACAAUAAUCCCAUCCCUAGUCUGCUAGUUCUUUUAAAAAUGUUGAAAGGGCCCAUGCGUAGCUCUUAUAAAAUUAUUGACGAUAAGAAUAGAAUAAAAAUGAUUGUGCUAACCCAGAGCUGACACGGACUAGUCUUUUGCUUUCCGGAUAGAUGGAAAUCGUUAGCGCUCUCUUUUUUCUAUGGCCAAAUGAUACUCUCUUCUUUACUUGUCGGACAUUAUGUUGGCAUCAAACGAUCACACCAUGCAUGGAAGUCAUCUCCCGUGCCCAUCAUCAUGCAUAUGCAUCGACGAGCAAUACUGGACAAAGUCGCCACUGCCAGUGACCGCCCUCUCCCUUGCCACACGCUGCGUUCAUGUUCUUACCAGCCAGGUUUUACAGGAGGUCAGGGACGUAUGGAUCCAAUGCCAUGAGGCAGCCCCGGCACGCCAUCACCGGCUAAACCUUAAGAUACCCCGUAGGGCUUGCUAAAUUUUUAGGAUGUCAACAAGGCUAUAUAUGUUAAAUCUCUACAAUUCAGAGUUUGCAAGCACAAGUAAGAAAUCUAUCAAUGUCAAGAUAUAACAUUGUAAGAAAACGAAUUAGAGUUUACAAUUUAAAAAUUUGUGGUUGUCUUGUGUUACACAUAUGUGUGUAAAAGAACCCUAAGAGUUUGCAAGCUGCUACAUGCCACUGACAGUUUGAUGCAUUAAUAAUAUUACAACGCCACAAGUAAGAAAUCUAUCAAUGUCAAGAUAUAACAUUGUAAGAAAACAUACAAGAGGUAGUGACUACCCAAUUGAGACGGAUCGCAAGCCCACAAGUUAUCUUUACUCUUUAAUCGGUUACACGGAAUAUGAACACACACACACACAUGGUUACUAAUGUCUGUGUAUGUUAGUACACAAGAUAAAGUAACUGAUUCUGAUGAGAUAUUGAUCAUGUGAUAUCCCAAGAAUUUUUGGUGGAGAAGAACUAAAGGGACAAAAAAAGGGGGGAGGCUAGGUGGCAGGAGUGGAGGAAACAAUCUAAGGACAAAGUGAUCCCAUUACAAAAAAUUGAGUGGAAGAAUCAUUUGCUAAAUUAGCAGUUUAAAGUUUGUUGACUUAGUUUAAAGCUGGAAACUCAUCAUUGUUCCCCAAAGAUUUAGCAGAGUAGAAAAAUGCAGGAGGUUGAGCCUUCUGAAGCUUUCCUGCUUUAAGGAUUUGGCAUCUCAUAGACAAUCUUACGGUAGAAUACUUUAUUUUUAGCUUCCUUUUCAUUUAAUCAUGCACUCGUGUUUCUCACCCAUAUUUCAUAUACAAGGAAGGGGGGCUAUAACCUAUAUGGCCUUCCUUUUCUCCAAUGAUGCUGUCCUGUCUCUCACUUUCAAGCAUCAUACUUCAUCAAUUUGAGGCAAACACCGAAUGCAUGGUUGCCUUUUGAGAUCACGAUAUAUAUAAUAAUUGUGAUUAGGAGCUUUGCAGCAUGGAGGAGUCCUUAGAAGGUUCCUUUCUCCGCUUUUCCAAUGUUUAUAAUUGGUGGUACAUCAUCUUUGCAUUUUGAAGGGCUAUAAAAGAUCUAUAUUUAUCGUUCUAGACAUUACAGCUAAGUCAUUGCAGCCAUAAAGACCUUCAAAACAGUAAAGAGUUUUCUUUGAGCCAAAUUCAAUUAAGAAUCAGUACGCGUGUUUCAUGCAUGACUAUAAAACACUUUAGAAAGAGUACCUUCGUUCCUUUGGUAUAGUUGCUUUGGAACUUCUUUUCUUUGUCAAUGCACACACUACCAAUGCAAAUUAUUUGAUGCUCUAAUGCUAAUCUUUUGGCCAUGAAACAAAGAAUUAGAAAUGAGCCACAUAUUAGGUUAUUCUACUCCUUUUGAAUCUGAUUCUCUCCUUGCACAAUAACCUGUGAAAUUAUGUUGGCUCAUAGCCUCCGGAAAAUAUGUUACAAAAUAUUCAUCCGUUGCAAAGGGCACAGUUAUUGCAGUGUCUCUACCCACAAAUUAAUGAUUAGGAAGAGAAUUUGUUGUAUUAAGGCGUGUUUAGCGGCAAUACUUCAAAUGUCUGGAAGAGGUGCCAUGUAGGAUUUUAUCUGACAUGUAGGUCAUAAAGAGAUACAGUCUAGCAAUUAAAAAUGGGCAUGAGAGAAAACCCUUUAUAGACAAAAAUUUUCCCUAUUAUAGAGAUGUCUUCUAUUAUUUAUGGCCACACAUUAUUAUUUUACUGUUUCCACUACGGAAACAGUAAAGUUGCCGAGUGUUUUCUGUUCGCCGAGUGCAUUAUCUCGGGCACUCGGCAAAGGACGUGUUUGCCGAGUGUCAAAAUGAAAACACUCGGCAAAUAUUAUACACUCGGCAUAAAUCCUAUUUGCCGAGCAGCCGACACUCGGCAAACAAUUGACACUCGGCAACUCUUAACCACGUGACCGGCACGUGCGGCGUCCGUUAGGGGGUGUGCCGGAUGUUAGUUCUUUGCCGAGUGUCCGCCGUCGACACUCGGCAAAGAUUGAAUAUUUACCGAGUGUUUCCUAGGACACUCAGCAAACAUGAAUAUGUGCCGAGUGUUUUUUCGACACUCGGCAAACAAGAAUAUGUGCCGAGUGUUUUUUGCGACACUCGGCAAAACCAAAACAAUUUUUCCCUCCUCCACCCUCCAAACUUUUUGUACUCCCCACGUAUGACAUUUGGCACUGCAUGUUAGAAGGUGGUCUAUUUCUUGACCUGUUUGUUAUAUUUAAUGAAUUAAUUUCAUUUAGAGAAAUUUGUUGAUUUAAGUCAAAUUUGAACUGCAAGUGAUUGGAAUGGAAUAAUAUGAGUGGAAAAAUCAUAUUCAUGUUAAUGAGUCCGAAUUGAGGUCUCAUCUGGGAAAUCAAAAGAAAUUUUGAACAUUUUGUUAAGAAAACACGACCACGAACGUGUGGCCGAAUGAUUUUUUAAUUCUCAAAAAUACAAACGAAGUUUGAAAAUCAUGAGAUUUGCCAAGAUGCUAUGAUUUCAUAUGUGGAGGCUGUGGUAAAAAAUUGAGAAGGUUUCGCACAAAUUUUGACAUAUGAUGCUUAGAAAUCGAAGCAUCUCCGGAGAGGAUUCGUAGAAGUUGGAAGGAUCCGGUAAGAUUUUGAGUCGAAUUGAUACUUGAAUUUGGCAUUGCGUUCAAUUUUUUUUUAUAGGCCAUAGACAACAUAGAUUGGUUCAUGUCAAAUUUUGGGAAUUUUUCGUAUCCAUUUGAUAAUUUUUAUUUAUUAAUUGCAAUUAUAUAAAUUUAAUAGAUAUAAAUUCAAUAUGAGCUAUAAAUCCAUGAAAUAAUGGAAUAAUAUUAGUAGAAAAAUGAAAUAGGCAUUGUUUAGUGAAUUUGACUAGGUUUUUGCAAAGUUUACAGACUUUAAAUUACUAAAACAUAUUAGUGAAAGUUUACACAUGAAAUAUAAGCGUACUUUGCUGAGUGUCGCAUCGAGGCACUCGGUAAAGCAGACACUCGGCAAACAUUUCCGCGGGCCACUUCCCAGCGAUGGUACCAUUCGAAAAUCUGAAAAAAAUAAAAAAUACCUUUGCCGAGUGCCCGUGAUCUAGCACUCGGCAAAGCCUGGAAAAUCCGAAAAAAAUAAAAAAGGCCUUUGCCGAGUGCCCGCGAUCUAGCACUCGGCAAAGCCUGGAAAUUAAUCCGGCCCACCCCCACCCUAACUCACGCACAUGCACACACCAAGUCACCCACACCCACACACCCACACGCGCCGCACGCGCCGCCCGUGUCGCCCGCCCACGCCGCCCGCCGGUCCCCGGCCCCCGGCUGCCGGACCCACGCCGCCCGCCGGCCCCCGGCCCCCGGCUGCCGGACCCACGCCGCCCGCCGGCCCCUGGCCCCUGGCCCCGCGCUACCCCCGGUCCCACGCCGCCGGACCCGCGCCGCCGGGUCCCCGGCCCUGCGCCACCCCCAACCGUCGGCCCCCGCGCCGCCCCCGGCCGCCGGCCCCCAGCCCCGGCGUGCCCCGCCCGUCCUCUCACCCCUCUCUGCCAGUGCCCCUCACCUCUCUUCUGGUAAUUCUUCAAUCUUUGUUCUUCAAGUUAGAAAAUUGAAAUUAGAAAUUAGAAAAGGUAGAGAGGUGGUAGGAUGAAUUAGAAAUUAGAAAAGGAUAGAAAAGAAUGUUUGACUUGGCAAUCUAAGGUAUAAGAACUGUAUGUGGAUGUCGGCCGAUAUUGGAUUGGCGACGGCGUAAUCGACACGACCUCUACUCGCACUCUCUCCCAGAUCCGAGCAAGGAGCACGGACUCGAGCCCGGCAAUACGGCCACGACCCACCACUGCACAGUUCCAGAUGGAGGCUCUCCAGGUUCUUUCUCUUCCAUUCAUCGUUCGUUCGUUGUUAUACUUUAGCUUUGCAUUAUAACAUUGCAAUGAAAUAUUGUAGGCCCAGGUGGAAGCAGCAAGGAAGCAACAAGAGGAGAUGGCGGCACAGAUGGAGGAGAUGCGGCGGAGGAUGGAGGAAGAAAAUCGGAUGAGGAUGGACCAGAUGUUCCAGUACAUGCAGAAUUUUGCUUCGAGCAUGGGUCAAUCUUUGCCUCUGCCACCGAUGAUGUUCCCUCCGCCUUAGCCACCCACAACUACUCCUGUGAGUCACUUGACACAUUGUGCUUAAGAUUGAAUACUUUAAUUUUGACAACUUUAGAUGUUAGCUUAGAAUGUCCUAUCCUAUGUGCAGAAUCAAUCGGCGGCUUCGAAUAAUGAAGAUCAAGAUUUGUCGCAGUGGUCUCCUUAGCCUCCACGGAACUAGACGACUUAGUUGUGAACUUGGAUGAAACUUAGUUGUGACUUGAACUUGGAUUUAUGGCUUUGUUUCAUGCUUAUGUUGGAUUAUGCCUGUGAUGUUUAUGAAUAAUGCUUGUAAUGGUGGUUGUGAAUUAUGCCUGUGAUUGUUUAUUACAAAUGCCUGUGAUGAUGUGUAUUGUGAAUUGAGAGGGAUCCGUUAUACGUGACAAAAUGGGUAAAAAAGGGGGUAUUGUCCACUUUGCCGAGUGUUACACUCAGCAAAGAGAGGCUUUGCCAAGUGUUUUGGCUUUAACACUCGGCAAAGGGGGGCAGUUGCACCGCCUGCUGUCUCUUCUUUGCCGAGUGUUUUGGCUAACACUCGGCAAAGGUCCACGUAUUUGCCGAGUGCCACGACCAUGACACUCGGCAAAGCGCCACGUAUUUGCCGAGUGCCAAGGCGCCGACACUCGGCAAACCUCCUCGUUUUCACCGUGUGCCUCAAGGCCGACACUCGGAAAAGAUUCAUCUUUUUGACGAGUGUAUGCCGUCUAGCACUUGGCAAACGCGCCAUUAACCUGGACGCCGUCACCGCUAUUUUCGCCGAGUGUGUUUUUGGCCGUCGGCAAAACGUUUGCUGAGUGCUCGAGGUUUGACACUCGGCAAACAUCUGUUUGCUGACACAAAAUUUGCCGUGUGCCGUAUGCCGAAUGUUACACUUGGCAAACUGUUUGCCGAGUGUUUUGGGUCUUCGCCGAAUGCCUGUGGCACUCGGCAACUUUACUGUUUCCCGUAGUGCACCUGCAUGGGGCAUCCCGUAGUGCACCUGCUUGGGGCACAGGGGUAAGUACACGCGCCAACACCUCUCUUUAUUCAACUGAUUUUUUUAAGAAUGCAACCUGUUGAUCACCCAUCACCGUGUGAAAUGAAACAAAAAUUAAGCUAUAGCUAGCAGAACUAAAAAAUUAAUAUUUGGUGACAGAGAUUCCACACCAGAACGGCACCUGGGUACCAUUGCAUCACCCGCUUGGGCCGUGCUCGCCGUCGCCAUCAGGUGACGCCGCGAAGCCGCCGUCCUUGGACGACCUGCUCCGGCAGGACCAGCUCCGCGUCGACCACAUCCACAGGAGGCUGUCGGGAGACGUCGGCGACGACAAGGGCUCCCACAAGCCUCCGGCUGACGCCGAAGUAAGCCAGGUUAACCACCAGCCCUCUGGUGAUUUCGGCGUGGGCUCCCCCAACACCAACUCCAAUGUAUGUAGGAACUGAUUUGAGUACCUGAAUUGGUUUUACUAUGAAAAAUCUUCCUCCAUCUUAACCUCACUAUCACUACUGUCUCUUACAAUGUCUUGCAGCCGCAGAGCAUUGAUCUGGCGGCGACCGGCGGCGGUCGGCCGAGGCUGCCUGGAGUGAUCCAGACGCUGGUGCUCGACACGGCGAGCGACGUGCCGUGGGUGCAGUGCGUGCCGUGCCCCAUCCCGCCGUGCCACCCGCAGACCAACACCUUCUACGAUCCGACCAAAUCUCCCACCUACGCCGCCUUCAGUUGCAGCUCCUCGCCCUGCCGGCAACUCGGCCCCUACGCCAACGGCUGCGUCAGCAACCAGUGCCAGUACAAGGUCACCUACCCCGACGCUCGUCGUCGUCGGGGACGUACGUCUCCGACGUGCUCACCAUCAACCCCACAAACUCCAUCGCCAAGUUCCAGUUCGGCUGCAGCCACGUCGAGCAGGGCACCUUCAACAACCGCACCGCCGGGAUCAUGGCGCUCGGCGGCGGCCCGGAGUCGCUCGUGUCCCAGGCCGCCUCCAUCUACGGCAACGCCUUCUCCUACUGCGUCCCGCCGACGGCGAGCCACAAGGGGUUCUUCCGCCUCGGCGUGCCGCGCGUUGCCGCCACCAGGUACGUGGUGACACCCAUGCUCAGGUACAAGCAGGUGCCCACGUUCUACCGCGUCCUGCUCCGGGACAUCGCCGUCGCCGGGCAGCGGCUCAACGUCCAGCCUGUGGUGUUCGCCGCCGGGUCGGUGCUGGAUUCCCGCACCAUCAUCAGCCGACUGCCGGCGACGGCGUACCAGGCGCUGCGGGCGGCGUUCAGGAACGCCAUGAGGAUGUACCGCAUGACACCCCCCAAGGGGAUCGGAGCCUGGAUACCUGCUACGACUUCACCGGCGUCGUCGGCACCGUCCGGCUGCCGAAGAUGGCGCUGGUGUUCGACCAGAACGCCGUCGUGGAGCUUGACCCGUCGGGGAUCCUGUUCAACGACUGCCUCGCCUUCAUCCCCAACCGCGACGACAACAUGCCUGGCAUCCUUGGCAACGUGCAGCAGCAGACGAUCGAGGUGCUCUAUGAUGUCGGCGGCGGGGCGGUAGGGUUCCGCCGUAACGCGUGCUGAGCGCGACGGCGGCCGGGAGGAUCCUCUGCUCUCGACGUACGAGCCGGGGAGUUUUUAAGCUGAUCCACACGCCUUUACAAGCAGUAAAUAAAACCAUGAUUUGCAUUGGUGCGAGGCUUUUGCCUAUGUAUAUGAUUUGCCUUUAAUUUAUCGUUGUGCUAUCCGGGUGGGGUGGUCUGGUGUAUUACCAUGUAUGUUUUUAUAAUUUAAUGCAUAACUCAUAUAUUAUGUUGUUUUUUAAGUUGUCCUAUAAUAAUUGCGUAAACCUCUAAAUCUAUAUGUGGAACAAAUAUAUGAUGCGAGUGUAUUGCAAACUUGUACAAUGGUUACGAAACCUCUUCAUCUUACGAGUCUAUUAGAGAUAUACAGCUUAAUUCUGGAAACGAAUGCUCCAAACUUCAUAGGCAAUCGACUAGUGGUCGCGUACGCUUAGAAGUCAGCAUCAUUUUCGGAAAACUUCACACACCUUCUUCUUCUAAGUAAUGGUGAGUACACUUAUGGUUGGUACUCAGCAAGGUCACAAGAGGUAACCAGAAUAACGAUUUAAGUCAAUCUUCAAGUUUAUUAAUCAUGUGAGGGUCCAGGCCGCUCUUGACGGUGAGCACGGCUGAUAUAUCAGUUUUACACUCUGCAAAGGUUGUACACUUUCACCACAAGUCACGUAAAAGUUCAGAAGAACUUUGGACCCAACCAUGCUGUGCAAAAGUAGGCACUUAUCACACUACCAAGGUGUGAAUGCAUAGGGACGCUACAAGGCCUUUACAAAGAUUACCUAAUAAGAAGUAGCCCGCUAAGGUUUCCGGAUCAGUAGCAAAGCAUAAAUCUCUCUCAAGACUGCGAAGCUACCAUAGUGCAGAUCAGUCUAAGGGUCGAGUUAUACCCCAUCUGCCGCCGCCCCCUUGCCCUUUCGGUAAGACCGCUUCAAACUAGAGUCUCUAAUUAAUUAGCCAAGAGCAGAGCCAUGUAGUUCUUGUGGUUGCACUAUUUUCUUGGGUGGUCGCUCUAUGUUCCGAUUACUGCAAGGUAUUUUGUAAAUAAGCAUAGAUAGAAGGAUGGUUAUGGACACUUACCUUUCUCCAACGAAAAGUUGCUCUUACUGCUCUUCAGUUCUUGCACUCUUGAAACUCUAAAUCUUCAAAGCUUUCGAAUAACAAUCUUUCUACUCGAAGCAAUCACCGGCAUAAACAUACAAGCAAACAAACAAGUACAACUAAGAACAAUAUACCAAUCAAAGAAAGGCUUUAAAAGAAUGCACUAAAGGAUAGGGCUCGAUUCUAGGAUCACACGAACGCGAGGACCUAAGGUUGAAAAGGUAUAACUAUCGAGAGAUUUGGAUUAUAAAAUAAAAGACAAGAGCUACAUGCUUCAUUCAUUUUAAUUGAGAAAAACAAUAUAAAGAUAUUUUAGAGAAAUAUCCUUAGUUGGAAUUAAUCAAGUCAUAUUUACAUAUGAAAAUAUGAUGUAAAGCUUAGUCCAAUUUUAUUUAUGAAUAUUUAAGUACAAAUUUAAGCAAAUGAAACAUUUGAUUUUAAGAGCAGCAUGUAAAAGCAUCUAAGCGUACAACUUUAUGAUUCAGGUUGAACUAACCAAAUAUAAUUAAAAACACAUUUAUAUUCAUAUUAGUCAAAUUAACAUUUAAUUAUGAAAACCCGAGAUAUAUCUUAUGUAGCUUUUAUUUAUAAAACAAUUGAAUAAGGAUUAAUCAAAUUGAGUUCACUCAUGAACAACCGUGGUGUAGCACUUAAUUAGAUUUUAUUAAUAAAAACUAGUUCAAUAGGUAUUAAUGAAAUUAACACUUAAUUAUGAAAACGAGGUAAAGAUAUAAAUAGCUUUUGAUUAGAAAAUGAGUGCAUAAGAAAUUAAUCAUAUUAGUAUUUUAAAUAAAUUACAAAAUAGGGAACAUGAUUAACAUUGCUUCUAAUCACGUCAUUUAAGUUGAUAUGAAUCUAAUGAAACAAGACCAAGGAUUAACGGAGCUAAAAUAUGGAAUCUACGAGCUAAACAAGCUGCAGGGGUCUAAUCGUGAUUAACCCUAGACAACAGGGGCUAGCAAAGAAUAAACCUUAGACUUAGAUCUGCAAAAGGAUAGGGCUAGGAUUAGAUUGAAAGGAUCUAAAAGGUUUAGGGGUUCUCUGGGAAAGGAUCAUGACUCAAAAGAAGCCUACAGAAAUACGGAUCUCUCUGAGGACCUAACUGCAAAAGCUUAGGGCUCUAAUGGCCAUGGCGAACAGCGGCUCUGGGCUCGCCUUCGAUUCGGGCGGUGAGAGGCUUGUCCGGCAUGGGGAAAUGGAGGAGGAGGAGGUCAAGGGGAUCAUGGGGGUGUGCUCACUGGCGGCGGGAGAGACGGAGGUGGCCGGAAUUUGGUGGAGACGGCGGCCAGCUCGAUUCUCGCGGACGGGUGACGCUCCGGCGAUGAGAAGAUACAUCUGUGUUGGCGGGUGCUUAGGUCGCCCACCAGCAUAGUGGCAUCUAUGCUGGCGGAUGCUCUCCCGCUGGCCCAAGGAAGCUUUAUGCUAGUGGGUGCCAAUCACGCCCGCUAGCACACUAAAUUCCCUAUACUAGCACAAAUCAAUUCUGGCGUAGUGUCAUGUAGCCUUGAACGGGAAAUUUUUCCUUUUCUUUAUGAAUACACACAUUAUUAAAGUAUCCAUCCACUCAAAAAGCCUUGUUUUGGGUUUUGUGUUAGUUUGUUUAAACAUUGGUGAUCGUUACCAUCUUUUGACGUAAAUUGAUCUUAUGAAAGAAUAGAAUUAUCUUGAAAUUAAAGUCGAUGUCAUAGUAUAACACAAAUUCUCUACAUUUUGCAUAGAUUUAUAUACGCUAGUAAUGAGUAAUCAAGAUAAUGUAUUGGCAACCAUGCAUGUUGUCAAUAUCUAAUAAAAUGAAACUAUUUUGUGACUGUGCCGGAGGGAGUAUGGUUCUUCAAUGCUCCUGCCACUCAUUAGUUGUAUUAAAUGAUCCGGAUAUGAAGUCGUUGACGCAUGGCUGCCAGCAUUUGAGUAAAUUUUGCGAUAGGCAUCUGGGUUUCUUUUGCUAAAACAGUUUCUAAAAGUGGCUGCCCACCUCCAACAAUAAUCCCAUCCCAAGUCUGCUAGUUCUUUUAAAAACGUUGAAAGGGCCCGUGCCUAGCUCUUAUAAAAUUAUUGACGAUAAGAAUAGAAUAAAAAUGAUUGUGCUAACCCAGAGCUGACACGGACUAGUCUUUUGCUUUCCGGAUAGAUGGAGAUCAUUAGUGCUCUCUUUUUCCUAUGGCCAAAUAUAAUGAUACUCUCUUCUUUACUUGUCGGACAUUAUAUUGGCAUCAUAACGAUCACACCAUGCAUGGAAGUCAUCUCCCGUGCCCAUCAUGCAUAUGCAUCGACGAGCAAUAUUGAACAAACUCGCCACUGCCAGUGACCGCCCUCUCCCUUGCCACACGCUGCGUGCAUGUGUUCUUACCAGCCAGGUUUUGCAGAGGAGGUCAGGGACGUAUGGAUCCAAUGCCAUGAGGCAGCCCCGGCACGCGAUCACCGGCUAAACCUUAAGGGUGUGUUUGGUUGGUUGUAUCAUUUGAUUCAUGUAUGAAAUGAUUCAAAAUAAUAAUGAUCCUUUUGUUUGGUUGGGUGAAUUGGACCAACUCAUCCAGGAUGAGGCCAUCCCACUUAGUACAUUAUUCUACUAAUUAGAGUGAACCAUAUGGUACAAGUAAAUUAAUUGAACCAUCCCAUCCAGGAUCAUCCAUGUAUGCAUCAUGUGGUGCAUGCAACCAAACACACCCUAAGAUACCCCGUAGGGCUUGCUAAAUUUUUAGGGUGUCAAUAAGGCUAUAUAUGUUAAAUCUCUAAAAUUUAGAGUUUGCAAGCACAAGUAAGAAAUCUAUCAAUGUCAAGAUAUAACAUUGUAAGAAAACGAAUUAGAGUUUACAAUUUUAAAAAAAUCUAACCUAUAUGGCCUUCCCUUUCUCCAAUGACGUUGUCUUGUCUCUCACUUUGAAGCAUCAUACUCCGGAGAUUACUAAGUUCUGGAUUUUUUUUUCCUCUGAGCAGUUUACGCCCAUAAGAACAUCACUUCAUCAAUUUAUGAAGGAAACACCGAAUGCAUGGUUGCCUUUUGAGAUCACGAUAUCUGUAAUAAUUGUGAUUAGGAGCUCUGCAGCAUGGAGGAGUCCUUAGAAGGUUCCUUUCUCCGCUUUUCCAAUGUUUAUAAUUGGUGGUACAUCAUCUUUGCAUUUUGAAGGGCUAUAAAAGAUCUAUAUUUAUCGUUCUAGACAUUACAGCUAAGUCAUUGCAGCCAUAAAGACCUUCAAAACAGUAAAGAGUUUUCUUUGAGCCAAAUUCAAUUAAGAAUCAGUACGCGUGUUUCAUGCAUGACUAUAAAACACUUUAGAAAGAGUACCUUCGUUCCUUUGGUAUAGUUGCUUUGGAACUUCUUUUCUUUGUCAAUGCACACACUAUCAAUGCAAAUUAUUUGAUGCUCUAAUGCUAAUCUUUUGGCCAUGAAACAAAGAAUUAGAAAUGAGCCACAUAUUAGGCAAAUAAGGAAGCGAUAUAAAUUCCGAUGGGAAAUAAGGAACUUUCCCUCGUAAGCAUGCAUCACACGGCAGGUAUGACCGUAUGACACGCUCAUCAUCAGCCAGCGAAAGCUAAUACGAUUUGUUACUGCGGUUCACUUGUCACAGUAAAACUUCAACUUGAGUUAUGCCCUUCCGUGGGUAAUUAAAAUAAGCUCAUUCAUGAAAUUAUCAAGAAAAAUAAACGUCCUCUGAUUUGAGUGCGACCUUUCAUGCAUGGCAUGUGCUUUGAUUUUUAGCUUCUAGCAGCGCGCUUACAGUGGGAUGAAAACAAAAUCAAGAAGACCUUUGUCGUCUCUACUUGUUAUUAAUGCUGGACUGAAAACACAUGCAUGGAAAGGAAAAAAACUGCAUAUUUUGUAUUGGUAGGAAUGAAGUGCAAAACAUAAUAAAACUAUAAACUUACGAAAAUUUGGAUAGAAAUGCAGGCAAAAUUUGUGAAUCGGAAGAGACAAAAGGACAUAAGAAAAUAUUUUUGUGCAUGUGAAAACUCUUUAAAAACUCUUGUGGAAUGAGCUAUUCCUAGAAGAACCAUAUAUAAUUGGAAGCAUAAAGAGUAAGGCACCUGCCCAUGCUUCAAUUAUGCAUGCAUAUUGGCACCUGGAGCAUUAUUCUUUGAUUUAACUAUUAGGUACGUGUUUGUGCCUAUAAAUUUUGCCCAGAGACCAUGGAAACUUCAAGGCAUGGUCGAGCAGUCCAAACAAGCAAGCAGAGCCAUGGUUUGGGUUUUGGCGCCACUGCUGCUCCUCCUCGUGUCAGCUGGUUCUUCUCCAGGUGCCCAUGCAGCAGAUCAUGAUGGAGACGACUACAUGAUGGUGGCAAUGAACUCGCUGAGACCGGAAGCCACCUGCUUGGGGCACAGGGGUAAGUAUAUACCUCUCCUUGUUCAACUGCUGAUUUUUUAGAAUGCAAUUAACCUGUUGAUCACCCAUAUCACCGUGUGAAAUGAAACGAAAAUUAAGCUAUAGCAGAACUGAAAAAUUAAUAUUUUUGGUGACAGAGAUUCCACCGCAGAACGGCACCUGGGUACCAUUGCAUCACCCGCUUGGGCCGUGCUCGCCGUCGCCAUCAGGUAAGCCGCCGUCCUUGGACGACCUGCUCCGGCAGGACCAGCUCCGCGUCGACCACAUCCACAGGAGGCUGUCGGGAGACGUCGGCGACGACAAGACGGGCUCCAACAAGGAAUCGGCUGACGCCGACGUAAGCCAGGAGUACCACCAGCCCUCUACUCAGUUCAACGUGGGCUCCACCAGCAAAAACUCCAAUGUAUGUAGGAACUGAUUUGAGUAUCUGAAUUGGUUUCGCUAUGAAAAAUCUUCCUGGAUCACUACUGUCUCUUACAAUGUCUUGCAGCCGCAGAGCAUUGAUCUGGCGGCGACCGGCGGCGGUCGGCCGAGGCUGCCGGGAGUGAUCCAGACGCUGGUGCUCGACACGGCGAGCGACGUGCCGUGGGUGCAGUGCGUGCCGUGCCCCAUCCCGCCGUGCCACCCCCAGCAGGACACGUUCUACGACCCGACCAAGUCUCCCACCUAUGCCGCCUUCCGCUGCAGCUCCUCGCCCUGCCGGCAACUCGGCCCCUACGCCAACGGCUGCGUCGGCAACCAGUGCCAGUACAAGGUCACCUACCCCGACGGCUCGUCGUCGUCGGGGACGUACGUUUCUGACUUGCUCACCAUCAACCCCACGAACUCCAUCGCCAAGUUCCAGUUCGGCUGCAGCCACGUCGAGCAGGGCACCUUCAACAACCGCACCGCCGGGAUCAUGGCGCUCGGCGGCGGCCCGGAGUCGCUUGUGUCCCAGGCCGCCUCCAUCUACGGCAACGCCUUCUCCUACUGCGUCCCGCCGACGGCGAGCCACAAGGGGUUCUUCCGUCUCGGCGUGCCGCGCGUUGCCGCCACCAGGUACGUGGUGACACCCAUGCUCAGGUACAAGCAGGUGCCCACGUUCUACCGCGUCCUGCUCCGGGACAUCGCCGUCGCCGGGGGGCGGCUCAACGUCCAGCCUGUGGUGUUCGCCGCCGGGUCGGUGCUGGACUCCCGCACCAUCAUCAGCCGACUGCCGGCGACGGCGUACCAGGCGCUGCGGGCGGCGUUCAGGAACGCCAUGAGGAUGUACCGCAUGGCACCCCCCAAGGGGAGCCUGGACACCUGCUACGACUUCACCGGCGUCGUCGGCACCGUCCGGCUGCCGAAGAUCACGCUGGUGUUCGACAAGAACGCCGUCGUGGAGCUUGACCCGUCGGGGAUCCUGUUCAACGACUGCCUCGCCUUCAUCCCCAACCGCGACGACAGCAUGCCUGGCAUCCUUGGCAACGUGCAGCAGCAGACGAUCGAGGUGCUCUAUGAUGUCGGCGGCGGGGCUGUAGGGUUCCGCCGUAACGCGUGCUGAGCGCGAUGGCGGUCGGGAGGAUGCUCUGCUCUCGACGUAUGAGCCGGGGAGUUUUCAAGCUGAUCCACAUGCCUUUACAAGCAGUAAAAAUAAAGCCAUGAUUUGCAUUGGUGUGAGGCUUUUACCUAUGUAUAUGAUUUGCCUUUAAUUUGUCGUUAUGCUAUACGGAUGGUCUCACGUAUUACCACGUAUUUUUUUUAUAAUUUAAUGUAUAACUGAUAUAUUGUUUUGUUUUUUAAGUUGUCCCAUAAUAAUUGUGUAAACCUCUAAAUCUACAUAUGUGGAAUAAAUAUAUGACGUGAGUGUAUUGCUAACUUGUAUGAUGGUUACGAGUCUAUCAAAGAUAUACAAUUUAAUCCAAGGCUCCAAAUUUCAAGCAAUCGACUGGGUCACGUACGCUUAGAAUUCAGCAUCAUCUACAGAAAACUUCACACACCUCCUUGUUCUUCUUCUGAGCAAUGAUGAGUAUACUUAUGGUUAGUGCUCAGCAAGGCUACAGGAAAUAACCAGAAUAACGACUUAAGUCAAUCUUCAAAUUUAUUAAUCAUGUAAGAGUCCAGGCCACACUUGACCUUGAGCACGGCUGAUAUAUCAAAGUCGCCACUGAUAGUGACCGCCCUCUCCCUUGCCACACACUUCGUGCAUGUUAUUACCAGCCAGGUUUUGCAGAGGAAGUCAGGGACGUAUGGAUCCAAUGCCAUGAGGCAGCCCCGGCACGCGAUCACCGGCUAAACCUUAAGAUACCCCGUAGGGCUUGCUAAAUUUUUAGGGUGUCAACAAGGCUAUAUGUUAAAUCUCUACAAUGGGGGUAUUUGAUACAGGUGCUAAACUUUAGCAGUGUCACAUACGAUGUUUGGAUACUAAUUAGGAGGACUAAACAUGAGCUAAUUAUAAAACUAAUUGCAGAACCCUGUGCUAAUUCACGAGACGAAUCUAUUAAGCCUAAUUAAUCCAUCAUUAGUAAAUAGUUAUCAAAUCAUGGACUAAUUAGGAUUAAUAGAUUCGUCUCGUGAAUUAGACUCCAUCUAUGCAAUUAGUUUUAUAAUUAGCCUAUGUUUAAUACUCCUAAUUAGCAUACAAACAUUCGAUGUGAUAGGUGCCAAACUUUAGCAUGGGAUAUCCAAACACCUUGCAAGCACAAGUAAGAAAUCUAUCAAUGUCAAGAUAUAACAUUUUUUUGAAGAAAUAGGAGGGGUUCAGGACCCUACUAGUUAUAUGUAACACCCCGUCCACCAAAGCCGCAUCGCCCAGCCCUUCCGAGGGGUGGGCACACGUACACAUAGCACCCUGCUUACACUUUCGUCCUCGCUUCAUGUAAAAGGGUUAACCCGAAGGUGCUAUGGCUGGUUGACAAAGGCUUAUAAGUUGGCUUCACUCUUACUCAACUAGCAAGGUGGUACUAAACAUGCGCACCUGCACUCAUGGGCCACACUGGGCCAAACAAAUUGGGCCGGAUGUCACAUUCACCCCCCUCAAAGAACCCGACGUCCUCGUCGGUCCAACUCACCCACGCAUGGGCAAAUGUUCAGGAACGUUCCCUCUAAGCGCACGACUGUACAUCCAGUGCCGGUGUCAUAUGCCAUGCCGUGUGUCCCAUCCUGGGCCCACAUGCGCCAUGCGCCAUAUGCCCGCACAUUGACUCGUAUGCGCAACCGUGAGGGUCGGCUCUGAUACCAUUUGUAACACCCCAUCCACCAAAGCCGCACCGCCCAGCCCUUGUGAGGGGCGGGCACGCAUACACAUAGCACCCUGCUUACACUUUCAUCCUCACUUCGUGUAAAAGGGUUAACCCGAAGGUGCUAUGGCUGGUUGACAAAGGUUUAUAAGUUGGCUCCACCCUUGCUCAACUAGCAAGGUGGUACUAAAUAUGAGCACCUGCGCUCAUGGGCCACACUGGAUCAAACAAAUUGGGCCGGAUGUCACAUUAUAUAUUAGCAUAAAGAAAUGACAUUCAUGUUACAAUAAAAAGCAAGUGGCAAAACCAAAUAAGAAGGAAAUAGUGAAAAAGGAGGAGAACCCCUUGAGAUUACAACGUAUGCAGCCACACCACCUCCAUUAGCUGAACUAGGCUCGGUCGAGCUCUGAGUAGGAGAUAUGAAAAUUCCGAAGAGAACUUUUCUUUGCAGAUUAGGGGUGAUGGGUCAACAGAGUUGAACAUCCAACUAUUUCUUGUCGUCCAAAUGCUCCACGCCAUCAAAAUGACUAUUUCCAUGUAGAAGGGAACCCCCAACUUGUUUUUUAUUUGAUUAAUAAUAUUCCAGUGGGUUCUAGUGGAGAUGUAUGUAACACCAAUGGAGUUCCAACAUGCUUUGGCAAAGCUGCAUCGAAAGAAGAGGAGGUUUGUUGUUUCCCUACGCUGUAGGUUGCAUAGUUCGUAGGUGUAUGAGUCUAGCUCCAUGCUCUUUCUUCCUAACAGGUCUCUUGUGCACAACCGAUCUUUUAACAGUAGCCAGAAGAAGACCUUGUUUUUCAUCUAACAUCAUGUUCUCCAUACCCAACAAAAGGAUGGAUGCACAUUUCUUUGCUCUAUGAUGGCCUUGUAAGCUUUGGCCAUGGAGAAGAUAGACGUUCCCCAAAUAUAGGUCCACUUGUCGGCCUCCAUCUCCGGAUUUAUGGCAAAGAUGUGUUGUUGCAGAUUAUUGAAUUGGUCGUGGGAUUGCGUUGAUAGGGGCAGGUUGAAGUUGUGAAUGAGCUGUGGUCUUGCCAAGGCUUCUUUGUAGGUAAUAUUGCAGUUUGUGGUGAAAGAGUAUAGUUCAGGGUAGGCUUGGCAUGGUAUGAUUCCAUUCCAUAGGUCUUGCCAAGAUUAGAAUGGUGGAGCCACCUGCAAUGGAGAUAGAAGCAAUUCCUUUGUAUUUGUCCAUUAGCUUGACUACAUCUUUCCCAAAAGGAUCAUUUGUCCUACUGCCCCGGCAAUCUUUCAUUGGUGUAGUAAUUAUCCCAAACUAGCCUGACCCAUGGGGUGUCAGCUUUGGUAUAGAACUUGUCCAAGAAUUUAAGCAGCAGGGCAUCGUUAUCUGCAUUGAUAUUGGCUACUCCUAGUCCUCCUUGCCUCUUUGGAAGACAUACCAUCGGCCAUGCCGCUUUGGAUGGCUUUUUGGACUUUAGGUCUGAGCCUUUGCAACUACCUUAUGACCCCCUUAUGGAGUUUCAGAGUGGAAGUGUAGAAGACAACAAAAGAUGAGAGCACUGAAUUGACCAUUUCUAAUUUACCUCCCUGACUCAAGAACAUGGAAGUCAAAUUUAGCCUUUUCUCAACUUUCUGAAUCAACGGGAAGAAAUUCUCAAUUUUGGGCUUGACAAUUCCAAGUGGCGGCCCCAAGUAUGUGAAAGGUAGUGAUCCUUGUUGGCAAUCAAAUACUGUAGCCAAAUUUUUCAAAGUCUCCUCAAAUAUGUUCAGGGGCACCAUCACUGAUUUGUAAUAGUUAACUUUCAGACCUGUCGACAGAGCAAAUGUAUAUAGGAGUUCUUUGAGUAACAGCAGCUACCUGGGGCAUGCUUCCAUGAUGUGGACGGUGUCAUACGCAUACUUUAUAAUUGGGAAAUCUGUACCUGCCCCCUCUGGAAUUGGCAGGUUAAUGUUGCCUUGAUCCUUUUCUCGAUUUAGGAUUAUUUGUUGUAGGUCUUUUGCUAGAACAAAUAGGAGGGGAGAUAGAGGGUCUCCUUGCCUCACUCCUCUUUUGCAGUGAAAAACUUUCCCUGGUACGCCAUUCAGGAGGACCGAUGAUGUUCCUGAGUUUAGAAUGCCCUUGAUCCAUUGCAGCCACCUUUUCCCUUUUGGAAGUUUUACAGAUGUGAAGGUAUUCAUAAGCCCAUGCUAGGCAGUCAUGGAUGGUCCUUGUUUUGAUGAAUCUAUAUUGGUUUUUAUGGACCAGCCUCAUGAUUGCAAUCUCUCUACUAGCAAUUUUGUGAGUAACUUGAUUGUUGAGUUAAGAAUUGAAAUUGGCCUAAAAUCUCCAACAGUGGUGGGGGGUAUUUCUUGGGCACCAAAGUGAUGUAGGAUGAGUUUAUGCUCUACAGACAUAACUUCCCUUCAAAGAAGUCCUCAACAAGCUUAUAAAAUUUCGGUGCUAUUAGGUUCCAACUUUUCUUCAAGAAUUCCCUAUUAAAUCCAUCGUGUCCCGGUGAUUUAUCAUUAGGUAAGUCAGAGAUGACCCUGUCAAUUUCUUCCUUGGUGAAAGGUUCUUCCAACCAUUGAAGGUUAUCAUAUGGAUGUAAGAGGGUCUCAAGAUUGAAGUACAUAUGUGUAAACUCUGACAUGCCCAUUCUGUCCUUAAAGGAAUUCCAUAGUAGCUGAGCCUUGGCCUCAUGAUUAAAAAUUUGACCUCCAUUUCCAUCUGAGAGUUGUGUGAUGGUAUUUCUUCUAUUUCUUAUUGAGGAAUUGGCAUGGAAAAAACUUGGUGCAUUCGUCCCCUUUGUCUCUAGUAUAUUCUUUGCUGGUUCAGUAGUUUCCCUAGGUGGUUGGAAAUAAUGUUUCCGAAGUUCCAUUCUUCAAGUGAGAGAUCCCUUGUUUCUUCCAUUAUAUCCAUUAAUUGUAGCAAAUCUUUUGUAUUUUGGAUUGCAGCUGCUAAGUUGGGGAGCUGAGCCAUCCAGGCUUGAACACUCUCUUAGGUUCUUAAACUUUGCAGUGAUCUUUUUUGCAGAGUCGGAGUGCUCAUUCGGAAGAUGCCAACCAUGGGAUAACAUUGGGAGAAAACUUUCAUGUUCUAGCUAGUAGUUCUCAAAUCUUAAUAUGUGUGGCUUUGGAACAUUUGUUGAUGUCGUUAUUACGCAGGGUGUGUGAUCCGAAGUAUCUCUUGACAAUCCUGAAGCAAAAGUAUUCGGAAAGCUAGUUGUCCACGCAUUUGAUGUGAAGAACCAAUCUAGCCUCUCUAGUAAGGGUUUUCUCUAUUUAUUUGUCUAGGUGUAUUUGCACCCUUCUAGGGGAAGCCAACAUCUCUUGGCAAUUCCCUCCUAAUUUAUUCCUAUCCCGUGGCUUUCUAAUUAAAUUGAAAUCCUCAAUUAUAAGCCAUUUUUCUUCAUUAGGCAUAUCAAUUCAUUUGAACCAUUGCAGAAAGGUUGUUUUCCCUUCAGAUGUGCAGGGGGCAUAUAUGUUUGUUAGAAACCAGGAUUCUCUGGUUAACUUUCAUGUGAGUUGGACAGACUGGGCAUAUUCAUUCUGAAAGUCCAGAUUGCUAGUGAAUUUUGUGCUGCUCCAAACAAUGAUAGAUCCUCCAGAAUUCCCUAUUGAUGGAAGGAAAGUAAAAUGAUCCAUAGAGGCUGGACAAAAUUUUUUAAUGUAUGUAACAUCAAAGAAUUCCUUUUUAGUCUCUUGUAGACAUAAGAUAUCAAUUUUGAUUCAGAGAUCUUGCUUCUGACAACAUCCCACUUUCCUUCAGAGUUUAUUCCUCCGAUAUUCCAUGAUAAGAUAACCCACUUCCGUUUAUGUUGCUCUGGAUUCAUAUUUAACUGUUGAAUGAGUAUCCCCUUCAAAAUAAAGAAUGCCUGAGAAGGACCCAACAACACUCAAAUCAGAGAAAGGAGACACUAGUAGAGAACUAACUUUCGAUGCGCCCCCUUUUGUCCCGAUUUAAAGUUGGCCCAGGACAAAAGGGGGUGCGCCACGGUAGGCAAAAAUGGAGGGGAGAUUUACUCCCGGUUGGUAUUUGCAACCAGGAUUAAAGGCCCCCCUUUAGUCCCGGUUGCAACAGCUAGUUCCAGAGUGUCGGUGGGGUGACCCUUUUGUCCCGGUUGGAGCCUCCAACCGGGAGUAAACUUUCAACCGGGACAAAAGGUGUUCCUUUUUGUCUCGAUUGGAGUUUUUAACCGGGAUAAAAACUCAUCCCCAUUAUAUACCAAGACAGAGGCCUUUCUUCCUCCUCCAGCCUGAGCUAGUCCACCACAUAGACAGAGAGCUGAGCUUCACCACUCCCCGGUGGUGCCGAAGCAAGGGAGGUGCUGCCCGAAUUUUUUUUCCUCAUUUUCGUGGGAAUUUCACUCAGCCAACACAAGUGUUGUGAAGGUUUGCUACUUCAUCCUCUUGUUACGCUUUGAUUUAUGCUUUGGAGAUGGAAAUUAAGUUUAUUUGCUAGAAUGUGAUGAAGUAGAAAAUGGAGAGGUAUUUUGAGCUAGAAUGUGAGGGAGAUUGAUGUGUCAUAUAUAGUAUGUAUUCUUGCAGUGGGUUAAGAAUGAUGCUACCUUGUCUAGACGGUUUAUCUUAUCAAAUUCAAUAUGAUUUUUCAAAUCCAUACUUGUUGAACUUGCAGACCGUGUUCAUCUCUGCGAGGAUGUUCUCCACCGAGCAGCAACGUAUGUCAAGAAGGAGGUUUGAUUUUACGAGAAAGAGUGGAUACGGACAUCGUGACCGUGUCCCCUUUUCCGUAAAAUCAAACCUCUUUCAUGACGAAGUACGGUGCCGCCCAGUUGAGGACAUGCUCGCGAGAUAAUUACGGUCUUCAAGUUCAACAACUUCUACAGUUCUAAGGAAAGAAUUUUUGUACAUAGAUAGCUUCUGCUACUGGAGGAAGUAGCGAUGGUGGGGGCGAUCGUCGUUCCUCUUUCGGCAAGGGGAAAAUCAUAGUUGGCCCUCAGCAUAAGCCAAAGAAAAUGAGCGCGUUGGAAAAAGCAAUGCUUCAUUAUUUGCAGAAACGUCAUGAAGAAGCUGUUGCCGUGGGUCAGGAACCUCCUUUUGGUGGUUGUUAUGCUCCACCCUCAGUCCCGGGUGUUUCACGUCCACUUAGUACUACCGUUUCAGGCGGCACAAAUAAUCCACAGGAUGAGGCUGGGUCAGCGGAACCUUCGUCUUCACUGCCCAAGGAUGCUUAAAGUCCUCCUAGAUAAUAACCAGUGGAUGGCUUGUUGUAUUGUAUCAUGUUGUUUGGAUCUUUAAUUUAAAUAUGUGUAUUUGUAUCCAUAUCUAAACUUUCAACAUUAUUUGCACUACAACGUUUGACAUGCUUUCAAUCGUGAAUCCAUUUUCAAGUGUAAUCAAUUUUCACGCGUAAUCCAUUUUCAAGUGUAAUCAAUUUUCACGCGUAAUCCAUUUCCAAGUGUAAUCAAUUUUCACGCGUAAUCCAUUUCCAAGUGUAAUCAAUUUUCACGCGUAAUCCAUUUUCAAGUGUAAUCAAUUUUCACGCGUGAUCCAUUUUCAUGCGUAAUACGAUGCAGAUGGACUGGAAAUGGAUGUAUAAUGCAGACAGACGGAACAAGGUGUUUAUUGAUGGCUUGCAUUAUUUUCUCGAAGUGGCCAAAGCGAACAAGCUAGAGAAUGGGUUCGUAUGUUGUCCAUGCUUCCAAUGCAAUAACAAGAAGGACUAUUCAAAGGAUUCCUGGGGGACUAUUCACAGCCACUUGUUUAGAUACGGUUUCAUGCCUAACUAUUUGGUUUGGACCAAGCACGGUGAAAGAGGGGUUGUAAUGGAAGAUGGCAAGGAGGAGGAGGAGGAUGGCAACAUUCCGGACUGGGUUGCAGGCCAAGCUUUUGCAGAUACUACAAUGGGCGAGGGUGAUGAAGAUGAGUUUGCAGAAAAUGGCCCUACUGAUGACCUUGGUCAGGUGCUACGAGAUGCACACAGAGAUUGCGAAACUGAGAAGAAAGCAGCAAAGUUGCAGCACAUGAUAGAUGAUCACCAAAAAUUGUUGUACCCAGAUUGCUAGCAGGGUCAUAAAAAACUAGGUACGACACUAGAAUUUGUGCAAUGGAAGGCAAAAAAUGGUGUGUCCGAUAAGGCAUUUCAGAGGAUGUUGAACAUUGUCAAGAAGAUUCUUCCCGACAAUAAUGAAUUACCGUCCAGAACAUAUGAAGCUAAACAGAUUAUUUGCCCUCUCGGAUUGGAUGUUCAGAAGAUACACGCAUGCCCUAAUGACUGUAUCCUCUAUCGUGGUGAUGAAUACGAGAAAAUGGAUGCUUGUCCCGUCUGCGAAGCGCUGCGGUAUAAGAUCAGGCGAGAUGAUCCUGGUGAUGUCGAGGGGAAGUCUCCCAAGAAAAGAGUUCCUGCGAAGGUGAUGUUGUAUUUCCCUAUAAUACCACGCUUGAAGCGCUUGUUCAGGAACAAGGCAAAUGCUAAGUUGAUGCGAUGGCACAAAGAACAACGUAUGGAAGAUGAGAUGCUGAGACACCCCGCAGAUGGGGCCCAGUGGAGAUCAAUUGAUAGAACAUUCCCGGACUUUGAAAGUGAAGCAAGGAACAUAAGGUUUGGUUUAAGUACUGAUGGAUUCAAUCCAUUCGGUGAGUUGAGUAGUGGCCAUAGUACUUCUCUUGUGACCCUAUGUAUGUUCAACCUCCUCCUUGGUUGUGCAUGAAGCGGAAGUUCAUUAUGAUGCCGGCGCUUAUCCAAGGCCCAAAACAACCCGGCAACGACAUUGACAUGUACCUAAGACCAUUGGUUGAUGACCUUUUACAGCUCUGGAAGGAAGAAGGUGUACGUGUGUGGGAUGAGGAUAGAUAAGAGAUCUUUAAUCUACGAGCAUUGCUGUUCGUAACCAUCAAUGAUUGGCCUGCAUUGAGUAACCUUUCGGGACAGACAAAUAAGGGAUAUCGGGCUUGCAUCCACUGUUUAGACGACACAGACAGCAUGUAUUUGAAGCACUGUAAGAAGGUCGUAUAUAUGGGUCAUCGUCGAUUUCUCCCUGCUCACCACCAGCUAAAAAAAAGCGGGAUGCAUUUCAAAGGGGCGUUAGACCAUCGUAAAAAACCUGCACACCAUAAUAGAAAGCGUGUCUUUGAGAUGAUAAAGGAUGUAAAUGUAGUCUUUGGAAAGGGUCAUGGUAGUCAACCUGUUCCGAACGACGAUAAUGGACGUGCACCCAUGUGGAAGAAAAAGUCAAUAUUUUGGGAGCUACCUUAUUUGGAAAUCCUAGAUGUUCGCAACGCAAUAGACGUGAUGCACCUGACAAAGAAUUUUUGCGUGAACGUGCUAGGCUUCAUGGGUGUUUAUGGGACCUCGAAAGAUACAUUGGAAGCACGACAGGACCUAAAAACCAUGGGGCAACGAGAUGACCUACAUCCGGAGAAGAGAGAUAAUGGACAGCACUACUUACGUCCUGCCAGUUACACUCUCAGCAAGGAAGAGAAGGAUACUAUCUUUGAAUGCUUGAAUUGUAUGAAGGUCCCAUCUGGGUACUCCUAGAAUAUAAAGGAAAUAAUAAAUAUGAAACAAAAGAAGUUUACAAAUCUCAAGGCCCAUGACUGCCACAUGUUGAUGAUCCAGUUGCUUCCGGUUGCACUGAGGGGUGUUCUACUAGAAAAUGUCUGGUUGCCGCUCAUAAAGCUAUGCGCGUUUCUCAAUGCGAUUUCAUAGAAGGCAAUCGAUCCAUCCAAGCUAUCAAAGCUACAGAACGAUCUGGUGCAAUAUCUUGUUAGUUUUGAGUUGUUAUUUCUACCAUCCUUCUUCGAUAUUAUGACGCACUUACUGGUUCACCUAGUAAAAGAGAUUGGUAUUCUUGGACCUGUAUACCUGCACAAUAUGUGGCCUUUUGAGAGGUUCAUGGCAGUCCUAAAAAACUAAGUUCUUAAUCAUGCCCGUCCAGAAGGAAGCAUUGCCAAGGGAUAUGGAACAGAGGAGGUGAUCGAGUUUUGUGUUGAUUUUAUUGAUUCAAUUGACUCGAUUGGGGUUCCAACUUCACGCCACGAGGGGAGGCUCCGGGGAAUGGGCACCCUUUGAAGGAAAUCAAGUUUGAGCAAUGAUACUAAUUUAUUCGAAAAGGCACACUACACUGUUCUACAACAAGCAUCCUUUGUGUCUCCGUAUAUUGAGCAACACAGGCAGAUGGUAGUUUCCAAAAACCCGACCAAAUCCGAUGCUUGGCUUACACGUCAUCACAUGGAAACUUUUCCCUCCUGGUUGUGCCAACAACUUAUGGGUAACUCUGAGAUUCACCCACAGCUCGCUUGGUUAGCCAGGGGACCUGCUAGCACAAUCGUGAAAUUCCAAGGCUAUGAGAUAAAUGGUUAUACAUUUUACACGAGAGCCCAGGACCAAAAAAGCACGAACCAGAAUAGUAGUGUUCGCAUAGAUGCCAUAGAUAGAAAUAAUACCAAGGAGUCGUAUUAUGGUUUCAUACAGGAGAUAUGGGAACUCGAAUACGGACCGCUGUACAUCCCUCUAUUUCUUUGCAAUUGGGUGAAGCUAACUGCCGUAACCAAAGAUCAGUACGAAAUGACAAUAGUAGAUCUGAGCAAGACUGGAUACAGUGAUGACCCAUUCGUACUUGCCAAUGAUGUGCAUCAGGUGUUCUAUGUGAAGGACAUAUGUAGCAAACCCAAGAGAAAUCCAGAAGAGACAUGGGAGCCAAAGUGCCACAUAGUUUUUCCAGGUAAAAGAAAAAUCAUGGGAGUCGAGGAUAAAACAGACCAAUCAGAUGAUUAUGAUCAGUUUGAUGGCAUGCCUCCAUUCGCAGUUGAAGUUGAUCCAAGCAUCGUGCUAUCCAAAGAAGAGGCUCCGUACUUACGCCGCGAUCAUGAUCAAGGAACUUUCGUGAAGAAGAAAUUUUACAACGUUGUAUUGUAAUGCGCUAAAUUUACAUGACCUUUGUGUAGUACUUGAUACAAUUUUUAAUUUAACCUAUGUAUGAUUUCAUGUGUUCUUAAAUUUGUUAGUUGAAGAUUUAUUAGAUAAACAUGAACAAUGUUAACCACAUACAUACAUGGAUUUUUUUGCGCGUUGAAAUUAUUUAAUUGAAUAAUUUCUUGAUCAUAGCGAUGCAGUAAAAUAAUUAUUUUAGGGGCUAAACGAACUGGUAUAGAGUUAAUGACUAAAUCACACUUAUUCUCAAUAUACUCGCUAAUUAAAUAUAUUUUUGCAUGUACAAACAUGUGAAGUUUUUUGUUUUUGCAUCCUGAAAUGCAGUGAAAACAUAAAUUAAAUCCUUUUCCAAAAAACAGGCGGGAGAUGAAAGUGUGGGAAAAGGCCCUUCUAUCCCGGGUGCCAAUUGAAACCGGGACAAAAGGCCCCCCUUUUAUCCCGGUUGACCACUGCAACCGAGAUAAAAGGGUAGUUUUCGAUUCCCGCCGGGGACGUACCCUUUUAUCCUGGUUACAAUUAGCAACAGGAAUAAAAGGGGGGGCCCUUUUGUCCCGGUUGGUGUUGGCACCCGGGACAAAAGGGUUGGUUUCGAUUCACGCUGGGGGACAUACCCUUUUAUCCUGGUUACAGUUAGCAACCGGGAUAAAGGGGGGGGGGCUUUUGUCCCGGUUGGUGAUGGGACCCGGGACAAAAGGGCCUUUAGUCCCGGGUGCCAUUACGAACCGGGAUAAAAGGGGGGAUAAAAGGCACUGUAGCCUCUUCUACCCCCCACGCCAGUUACACUUAGCCAAAUUUUCGCCAAGAUCCCGCACCCUCUCGCCUGCUCCAUCGCCGCCCGUCCGCCUCCCUCGCCGGCCGCCCUCGUCGUCGUCCCCCAUUGCUCCGGCCAUCGUCGCCCCGCCGCCCGACCGCCUCGCCCGCGCCCGGACCGCCUCCUCCUCCAUCGCCCCGGCCUGCCUCCGAUCCAACUCCAUCGCGCCCCCUCGACCUCGUCGCCGCCAGCCGCCUCCAUCACGGGGCCUCGUCGCCGCCUCCGUCCUCGUCACCGCCUCUGUCAACGCCACCUCCUCUAUCACCGCCGCGUCCUCGUCCGUCGCGGGGCCUCCUCGUCGCCGCCUCUGUCGCGUGCGCCGCCUCUGUCCGUCGUCGCCGGCCGCCUCCACCCGACGUUGCUUCGCUCCGUCCCCGCCUCCGCCGUCCCGUCGCCUUGGCCGCCGCCGUCCCGCCGCCCCGGCCACCUCGUCGCCCCGGCCACCGUCGACCGCGCAAGGUCCACCGGCUUGCGUCAGCAAGGGGCUUUUUUAUUUUUUAGUUAGAAAAUGAAUAGAAAUUAGUAGAUUAGUUAGAAAAUCAAUAGAUAUUUGUAUAUUAGUUAGAAAAUCAAAUCAGUAGAAAUUAGUAGUAAUUAGUUAGAAAUUUUUUAGAAAUUCAUUCAAAUUAGUAGGAAUUAGUAGUAAUUUUCUAGAAAUUCCAAUAAAUAUGUAGAAAUUUUGUAGAAAUUCUUACAAAGUACUAUAGUAGUAAUUUUCUAGAAAUUCCAUUAAAUAUGUAUAAAUUAGUAGAAAUUUGGUAGAAAUUCUUACAAAGUACUACUAAUUUGUUUAAAAUUUGUAUAAACAUUCCGGACUUUGUGGGAUUCAUGUUAUUUUAUGAUUUCAUGUAUAUACCCUUACGUACAUGUAACUAAGGUGAUUUCUAUGAUUCAUGAUUGUCAUGUGUGAUUCCAUGUAUGUUUCAAUCAGUAUUUGAAAUGGCAGACGACGAGACUGCAAGGUAUCUCAUGGAGCAGAUAAUCAUUGGUGAUGGUAGUGGCGACAACCUUCCAAUAUCGUAUACCGAUGAAGAGGGCACUCAGGCGUGUUCCUCAACAUGUCCGCCGACGG